This 68566-nucleotide long non-coding RNA is filed under the name Vitis vinifera (wine grape). RNAcentral describes it as "long non-coding RNA (VVIN_LNC001392)". The stretch from base 20723 to 20794 matches the Rfam family "tRNA". Lineage: Eukaryota; Viridiplantae; Streptophyta; Magnoliopsida; Vitales; Vitaceae. The record is from RNAcentral.
AGGUGAUGCUUUUCACUAAGAAGAGACUCUAAGAUUAGAUUCCCAAUGUAUAGAGUGUUUGCGCAGUAAACAAAUCAAUCACUUAUCAUUUAUAUAACAGUAGAAGUGUAUGGAGAGUGGGACUAACCUUGGAAGCAAAGGUCCCCUGAGGCCAGUUGAGCAACCCGGCAACCAUUUGCCCUGUUUGAUUGCAAUCGUCAUCAAUGGCCUAGAAAACCCAUGCCCACAUCAGAAAACAACAAUCCACCAUAAAAAGAGUCUAGGAUUUUCACGGAAUCCGCAAAUUUAUUUUUAAAUCGUUACCAAAAACCCUAAUCUCUGGGCACGAAUUCACAGACCUGUUUGCCCAGAAUAAGGAGGCCAGGCUUCUCCACAUCGACGAGAGCUUUGAGAAGCUUAGCAACUGAAAGUGGGUACAGAGUGGCGGAAGCUUCGACGUGGAUGGCCCUAUCGGCGCCCAUGGCGAGACCCGUUCUGAGCGUGUCGACGCACUGGCUGGGACCCACACUGACAGCGAUAACCUCCGACGCCAGACCCGAUUCCUUGAUCCUCAGAGCCUCUUCCAAACCUAUCUCACAAAAGGGGUUCAUCGACAUCUUGACGUUGCUGGUCUCCACGCCGCUCUGAUCGUGGGUUGGCGAUUGUUAUUGGAUGAUGAUGAAAUUACAGAUACUGAAUAACUUGAGAGUUUGGAUUUGGGUUACCUUGUCGGAUUUGACUCUGAUCUUGACAGCGUAGUCCACAACACGCUUUAUCGCCACCAUUAUCUUCAUCUCGUAUAUGGGUGGUUAUCUUCUCCGGCACAAGGGUAUUGGCAAAUGACUGAUGAUGAAGGACGAGGAUAUUCGCCCGAGCCCUACUGCACGACACCACAUCCGCUUAUAAAAUCUUUUGAUACGGAUAAGUACAAGGGAAGUGGAAAAAAAGGAUUAUUAAGAAAAAUAAAUAUAUUACCAAAAAAAUUAUUUAAAAUUUUGUUCAUGUAGAAAGAACCCGUGAAUCAGAUCGAAAAAAUUAUAUUAAAACUGCUGUAUAGCCGAAAAUUGUGUACAGAAUUUAUUUUAACAUUGUAUUAUUGAAUUUUUUAUUCAAAAAUUGCUUAACGUGAGAUAGAAAUUAAAAAAUCAUUAGUAAUUUUGUCCGAAAGUUGUUAUAUUUCAUGUGUUUUAAAAAUAGAUGUAAUUUAUUCCUAUUUGCAUUUUUAACGUACAUUUAAUUAAAUAACCCAAAAAGUUAUUGAGUUCACAUCAUCUAUGGAGUCUACCUCUCUUUGCUUUUGUUGCUUCCAAAAAUACCAUACUCCCAUAUUUUUUUGGUUCUACUCAUUUUACUUUAUUUUUUUCAUUCCAUUCAUUCCACGUGAAGUCUUCAAUCCUAAUAACAUUUACUAUAUUACAAUUAAGUUUAAUUUUUAAAAAACUUAAUUAGGGUUAAAUUUCCUUUGAGAGAACUUCAUUACAAUUAUUUGAGUUGUACGUUAAGUUUCAUUUAAAAAUAACUUAUUUAAAAAGAUGUUAAGCUUCCCCUAUUUUAUUUAUAAAGUUUAAUAUCUAUUUGAUUUUAUAUUUGAAAUCCAACUAAAACCUAAUAACGAAUUGUUGUAAAAAAACUCCAAUCAAAAUACUAACAAAAAUUAAAACAUAAAACUCUGAUAAAAAAUUGUUAAAAAAUCCAACAAAAAAACAAUCAUAAAAAACCCUAAUCAAAAACAUCAUGGAAGUUUAAAUGAAAUUGCCAAAAAAUAAAAAGUAUAGAAAACCCUAACAAAAAAACAACACCAAAACACCUGACAAAAAACAAUUACAAAUUCUAGCACAAAAACCCCCAAUUAAAAAUAUCUAUAAAGAAAAACCUAAAAAAAACCAAUUAUAAAACCUCCAACAAAAAAUAAAGAGAAAGAUGAAGAAUAUGAAAAAUUUUGAAGAAGAAAGAAACAUGAGAGAACUAUCAUUGAUCUUUAUUUGUUAAUCUUUGUUAUAUGUUUGAACUUCACUAGAAAAUGAGAGAGAGAGCAUAAACCUAAAGAGAGAAAGAGCUGAAAAUGAGAGGAGAAAUGAAUCACAAUGAGGGGAAUGACAAUUUGAGGAAAUAUAGAAGGGUUAAAUCAUUUGAACUAGGUUAACGUUUUUAUUAAAAAAAAAGAGUAAUGAAGGUCCUUGUUCUAAUUUCAAGAGUAUGUCUGUUAAUUACCAAAUGUGGCAACUCUAAAUAAAAUCCUUUGUUAUCAACUAAAACUAAAAGUCCCAUUACAUCAUAUCCAACUUUCAUUUGUUAUCAACAAAGUAAAACUAUAUACAACUAUUAUCACCAUCUCUCCUAUUUUGAUGUUAUUUUCUUAGAUGAAUUUGUAAAUCAAAAUUUACACCACCCAUAAAUUUUUUGAGCUUCCUAUUUAACACAACUUCAAUUUGUUAUACUUUGAACAUCACAAAGAUAAAGUAAUCAACAUUUUGCUUGGACAAGUUUUUCUUCUCUAAAGUUUAGAGUCCUAUUUCACUUCCCGUUUAUGGGUUGUUAGUUCAUCUAAUAUCUCACCAUCAUCCAUUCCAUGUACUGUGUUUCCGAAAUGAGUUGAUUCCACAUCCUAAAUGUCUGUGCAAAUUAAUAAGGAAUGUCGAGUUACCAAUUUUCUUAAAAGCUUAAUCUUGCAAGAUUUGGAUUCAAAAUGCAUAUCAUGCUCUCUUUAACACCCCUCCCCCCUCUCACAUGUAGCCCUAUACCCACACGUAGAGAAAUAGACUUAUAGGAAAAUUGGUAGUUUAAUAUAGUAUCAGCACUUGGUUUGGUGGGAGGUCUCCUGUUUGAGUCACCUCUCCACAAUUUACAUUUCUCCUAUUUGUUUAAUUUACAGUUCUUCCCUUAAUCUGUAAUUCUUUGGAUAUAAAUUUUCCCCCUAAUUUGUAGUUUUGUGGAUAUGAAUCUCUCUUCCAUGUUCAGGUAUGGGGCCACACAUAAGAGAGGGUGUUAAAGAGCAUGAUAUGCAUAUUAAACCCAAAUCCUAUAAGUUAAAACUUUUAGGAAAAUUGGUAGUUUAACGCUUUUAGGAAAAUUGGUAGUUCAACAUGUGUACACCCCAUUUUGGGGACUGCUAUUGCUCCCACUUCUUUUUGUCAAAUGGUGGAGCUUUUUAGGAGCACAUGUUGUAUUUGGAAAGGCUAUUAGAAAAUGGCAACAUGACUGUUAAUGGAAGUAAUGAUUUUCUAAAAAGGCAACCAUGGGAAGACACAUAACAAAGAUGUUUGGGGAGGAGGGAGAGUGUGCAUCAAGACUACUCAUGAGGGGUAAGAAACAAAAAAAAAAAAGUGUCGAAGAUAACUAAAAAAUUGGAGAAACAUAAAGGAAUAAGGAUUUUAGGGCUAUGGAUGGUGAACAAGAGUGAAUUAUGGGUGUCUAGGACAGCUAGGAAUGGUGAGAGGAGUAGGGAGCUGUAGAAGGUGAUGAGCUAGGUAAGAUGUAUUUUCGAGAAAGAAAAGAACCAAAGAAAGAAGGUGGUGAAUUAAGUGAGACACGUCUCAGAGAAGCAGAGAAAGUUGGCUUGAAGCCAAGCAAACUUUUGCUUGAGAUGAGCAUUGCCUAGUAAGAUUGUUUCGAUUCAUCGAUUAUUACUGAUCAUCAUACUUCUCUUGUCUUAUAUUCAUGUGAUUAUUUUACAUUGAUUGUGGGGUUGCUUUGGUUUGGUUAUUAUGGCUUCAUCCUCUAUUUCUUUAGUUUUAUUCAAGGAUAAAUCUAAUUGUGCUUUGAUUAGUUAUUCCAUAUUUGAAAAUCUUUGUGUAUUUUGGGUUUUUUCUCUUUAGAUAUUUUCUAGAUUAAUCCACUGACCUUUAAACCCACAAAUAAAGAAAAAUGAAAUGAGUUUUUUCAUAUUUGUUGGGUGUUUGGCCCUUGUUUAUCUUUUUUUAAAGCUUUAUUCCUUUAUAUUCUCUAUUUCUCCCCAUUUUGUACAUGGGUGUUUCAAUCAGAGUCUCUAUUUUGGCUUCCACAUUUGAGAUUUCUUUUAUGAGCGAAGACCCAAAAAUGGAGACUGGCUUCUUGUAAUUGAUAAAAUAGUUAGUCACCCAUUAGCUUAGAUGAAGCAUAGAUGUUAACCGGAUUGUGAACAUGGAUACUCUAUUUUGGGCCUAUUAGGCCUUCCAAUCCUCUCUUAGUUUCAUUAUUCUUGAGGAUAGUGUUUGGUUGUGUCUGCUACUUAUUCUGUGGCUUCGGUGGUCUGUUUGUUUAUUCUUGGCUAUUAUCAAUGCUAACAAUGGGAAAGAGACUGGUUUUGGUUAUGCUCUUACGGAUUUGAAGGUGAUCAAAGGGUCCAGUGAAGAGAAGAUUAGUAGGUCAUAUUAGGUUAAUUAAUUAAUUAGGACAUGUUUUGAGUUAUAUUAAGUAAUACAAGCUCUUAGUGGGCUUAAGUAACUUAAGCCUAGUGGGGAAUGCCAUAAAUACCCCUUAGGGGUUAGCAUUUCCAUAGGUUUUUCUAGAGAGUCAUCUUUCACCUCCAAAGAAGGAGAGUCAUAGCCUUUACCAUUUUUUCCAUCAUUAUCGAAGUGUGUCAAGAUUAAGGUUUAAGUCAUUGAGCGGAAGACUCCAGGUUUAUGAGACUUCAUACAACUUCGUUUUUCAUUUUCAUCAAAUGGAAUUAAUUUGAAAACAUUUGAAUCUGAAGUAUGGUUUUUGUUAGCAUAUUUCGAAUCCCUUUAAAGUUUAAAAAUGCAAAUUUUCCACUAUGUAUAGGAUUUAAAAUCGCUUAAGAUAGUUAAACAUGUUCCCCACUUGAUCUGAAUUGGGAAACGGAGAAAUCUGAUAUUUUCCCAUCACAAGGUAGGAUAAGAACUUGUGAUUGAUCUUUAUGGAUUGGACUAAUUAAUUAAUUGGAACCUAAUUAGGCUAAUUAAUUAAUUAAGACCUAAGCAAACUAGUUUAAGUUACACAAGCCUAGGAUGGACUUAAGUGACUUAAGCCCAUGGGAAGCUUAUAUAAACUCCUUUAGGGGUUAGGGUUUCAAACUUUUAUCAUCUAGUCUUCAAUUCCUUAAAGAGAAUAGAACUCGAGCCAACAACUCUCCUAAAGGAUUCUAUUGCUCCGUGUCAAGAUUCGAAAAAAAACUAUUUGAUGGAAGGUUGUUAUGUUUAUGAGAUUCGUUAUGUUUUUUUACACCUUUUCACUAAAUGGAAUUGAUAUAGGAAUGUUCAUAUCUCAAGUGCAACACACUUAUUCUCUUUAGAUUUAUAUUGCUUAUGGUUUUUUUUUUUUUUGUCAUGGUUUUCCGUUAAGAUUAGAUUAAGAGAGCCCUAUGUCAUAGAAUGCUUCAAAUGAGCCUCCCCGGGGGUUUGUAUAGAGCCCAUGAAGCUUCUAGAGACUCCUAUACUUAGCCAUUGGUGGGAAGAGUGUGAAAGGUUCUACAGAUGUCUAGAGAUAUUUACACAUCUCUACACUAUGGUGGAAGGCAUGAGAGGAGUCUAAGGCAUUCUAAAGAAUUAUAAAGAUCUCUUAUAUAUUCUUGUACAUAGGCUUGUACAUAGAAUUGUGUAGGAAGUUAUAGAUUAUUCUUGAGCUGUAAGGAACCCUCCAAGGUUCCAGAGAGUUCCAUUGGUGCCUAUAAAUAGGUGAAUGCCUCAUUUGGCCAAGACACUAAGCAAGUGAAUUCCAAAACACUUGUAAAGCUUCCUUUGAAUAAUAAAAGUUUCAAUUCUUCAAGAGUUGCCUAUUAUGCCUUCUAAAACUUCUAAGUCAUGAGCAUCUUAACCUAACAAGUUAAGCAUUGGGAGUAAUGCUAACUUAGCAAGAUCAAGGAUCUUGACUUGUCUAAGUGUUGCACGAUCUUAGGAAAAGAUUAAGUUUGUGACAGUUGGUUUCAAAGUGUGACUACGAAGUGAGCAUAGUAAAGGAAACAUGUCGAGCUUCAACAUGGAGGAAACUAGUGAGCAAACCCGUGGGAAAGAAACCGAGCCUACUGCAUAGGACAGGGACAUGAAGGAUAAAUCUCGUAAUGCCAUAGCCAACGUGGAGGCAAGGCUAGCCAAGGUGGAGCUAGCCAUGGCAGACACCCGGGAAGGGGUGGACUUAAUCGAGCAAGGCAUGGAAAAUGGCUUAGAGGAUCUAAAUGAGCAUAUCCAAGACCUUCAUGAGAGAGUGCUAGGCUUACAAGUUCGGCCGAUGUCAUAUGAGGAGUUCAUGUCCUUCCAAAACGAGGUCAUGAGCAUGUUUGCUAGCAUGGAGUCGAAGGUGGAGGCCUUGGCUGCACGCAUAGAGGCCCAAGACCAAGAGGUUCAACAAGAGCUAGCUAUCUACAAGACUGUCUUAUCAGCACGAGUCAUGGCCACUCAUGAGGCACUAAGGGUGGAAGUGCCCAAACCACACACGUUCAAUGGCAAGAGGGAUGCCAAGGAGUUGGACAAUUUCUUGUGGCACAUGGAGCUCUACUUUGAGGUUAUAACACUAAUAGAUGAAGCCACUAAGGUAUGUACCACAACCCUCUACCUCACCAAUAAAGCUACUCUAUGGUGGCGUCAGAGGUUUGCCAAUAUAGAAAAAGAAAUGUGCACCAUAGACACAUGGGAUGCCUUUAAGCAAAAGAUCAAAAAACAAUUAUACCUUAAUGAUGUGGCUUACCUAGCAAGGAAAAACACAAAAUGUCUUAAGCACACAGACUCGAUCCGUGAGUAUGUCAAAGAAUUCUCUACACUUAUGCUUGAGAUACCCAACAUGUCUGAGGAAAAGCUACUAUUCAACUUCAUGGACAACUUGCAAAGCUGGGCCGAGCAAGAGUUAAGGAGAAGUGGUGUCCAAGACCUAGCCACGGCCAUGGCGGUAGCGAAGUCCUUGGUGGAAUACAAAAAGGGAGACUCUUUUAAGCCCAAGCCACAGUCUAAGGGUAAUCAUGCUAAAGGUGGGGAAACAAGGGAUCAAGGAGGUACACUCCUAAGGAAUGAUCAAGCAAGACCUCUGGUGGCAAGGAUGGUAAGGGUAAGGAUAAACGGAAAUAGUUCACGCCUAAGAUCAAUUGCUUCCUAUGUGAUGGUCCACAUUGGGCGCGAGACUACCUCAAAAGAAAAGCCCUAAAUGCCAUGAUCGAGGAAAAGUAGAAGGAAGACAAUGCUCAUGUGGGAUCAUUACAACUCUUAAAUGAUAUCAAGGCUAAGUCAGUGCUUAAGACACCUCAAAGUAAAAGUCUAAUGUACAUAGAAGCCCUUGUAAAUAGGAAGGCUACCAAGGCUUUGGUGGACACUAGUGUCACUCAUAACUUUGUCUCGAAGGAUAAGACAAAGAACUUAGAGCUCCAAGCAUCUAAGGAAGGAGGUUGGCUCAAGGCAAUUAAUUAAGUUUCCAAGCCAUCACACGAAGUAGCACGCAGGGUGGCAAUGCACAUUGGCUCAUGGGAAGGAAUGGUCGACUUCACAGUGGCACCCAUGGACUACUUCAAGAUGGUACUGGGAAUGAACUUCCUAUAGAAAGACAAGGUCAUGCCACUACACUUCCUACAUUUAAUGGUUAUCCUAGAGGAUGAAAAGUCAUGCAUAGUCCUUACGGUCACCGAAGGUUCACCCAAGACCCCUAUGAUAUCGGUUAUGCAAGUAAAGAAGGGAUCAAAGAGGAAAGAGGUGACCUACCUCACCACUCUUAAGGAGGAAAAUGAUGAUGAGUUGGGGGAGCCCAUGCCUAAGGAAAUCAAGAGAGUCUUUGAUGAGUUCAAGGACGUGAUGUUGCCUAAGUUGCCUAAAAGACUCCUUCCUAGAAGAGAGAAAGAUCAUAAGAUCGAGUUAGAUGCAGGAACUAAGCCCCUUGCUAUGGGGCCAUAUAGGAUGGCACAACCCAAGCUGAAAGAGCUAAGGAAACAACUUAAGGAGUUGUUGGAUGCAGGGUUUAUCCAACCAUCCAAGACUCCCUAUGGCGCACCGAUUUUAUUUCAAAAGAACCAUGAUGGGUCCCUACAGAUGUGCAUCGAUUACCAAGCACUCAAUAAGGUAACAAUAUAGAAUAAGUACCCCAUUCCACUCAUUGUUGAUCUAUUUGAUCAACUUGGUAAAGCAAGGUAUUUCACUAAGUUGGACUUGAGAUCAGGCUACUACCAAGUGAGGAUUGUGGAAGGAGACAAACUGAAGACUACAUGUGUGACCCGAUAUGGCUCAUAUGAGUUCUUAGUGAUGCUCUUCGAUCUCACCAAUGUACCAACAAUGUUUUGGACACUCAUGAAUAAGAUCUUCCAUCCCUAUUUAGACUAGUUUGUGGUGGUAUACUAAGAUGACAUAGUCAUCUACAAUAGCAUCUUAGAGGAGCACGUGGAGCAUUUAAGGAAGGUCUUCAAGAUCUUAAGGUAAAACGAGUUAUAUGUAAAGAAGAAGAAAUGCUCAUUUGUUAAAGAGGAUGUGAGCUUCCUAGGGCAUCGCAUCAAAGAUGGCAAGCUGAUGAUGGAUGACAACAAGAUGAAGGUCAUCUAGGAAUGGGAUCCACCUACUAAGGUACCUCAACUAAAGUCUUUCCUUGGCUUGGCUAACUAUUACCAGUGGUUCAUCAAGGGUUACUCUACAAAGACAGCUUCACUCACUAAUCUUCUUAAGAAGAACAAGGCAUGGGUGUGAGACAAAAGGUGGCAACAAGCCUUUGAAGAUCUAAAAAGUGUUGUGAUUGAGGAGCCAAUGUUGGCAUUACCCAACCACAUGAAGGUUUUUAAGAUACACACAGAUGCCUCAAACUUUGCUAUUAGGGAAGUUCUGAUAAGAUAGACAUCUAAUCGCCUUCAAGAGUUGCAAGCUAAAUGACAUAGAGAGACGCUACAUGGUACAAGAAAAUGAUAUGACUGUCAUUGUCUAUUACUUGCACACCUGAAGACACUAUCUUCUAGGGUCUCACUUCAUAGUGAAAACCGACAAUGUUGUCAUUAGUUACUUCUAAACACAGAAAAGUCCUAAGUAAGCUAGGUGGCAAGACUUUCUGGUUGAGUUUGACGAUGCGCUGGAGUAUAAGACAAAAAGUACUAAUCAUGUGAAUGACGCCCUAAGCCGUAAUGUAGAGCUAGCAUUCAUGACGAGCCAGCCCCAAUGAGACAUAAUAGAUCUUCUAAGAGAGGGGUUGCAACAUGAUCUAGUGGCUAAGAGCCUUAUUACCUUGGCCCAUGAGGGAAAAACUAAGUGUUUUUAGGUAGAGGACGACCUACUCUACACUAAGGGGAGACUACUCUACGUGCUUAAGUGGGGGAACAUAAGGUAGAACUUGAUUAAGGAGUGCCAUGACACCAAGUGGGUUGGGCACCUUGGGCAACGACGCAUAAAGAGCACUACUCGAGUCAGCUUACUACUGAUCUUAGAUACAAGAUGAAGUUGAGGCAUAUGUGAGGACUUGUCUUGUGUGCUAACAAGACAAGGUAAAACAACAACAACCUAGAGGCUUGUUGGAGCCACUACCUAUAGCAGAGCGUCCAUGGGAGAGCAUCACCAUGGACUUCAUCAUCGGGCUACCUAAGUUGGAGGGCUAUGGCUCGAUCAUAGUGGUAGUGGAUAUGUUCUCUAAGUAUGUGACCUUCAUAGUAGCCUCUACUGACUGUACUGCAAAGGAGACAGCAAGGCUAUUCUUGAAACACAUGGUCAAAUACUGGGGGUCGCCUAAUUACAUCAUCAGUGAUCGCGAUUUGCAUUUCACUAGGAAGUUUUGGACAAAGCUCUUUAAGCUUAUGGGUUUGAAGCUUCACUUCUUCACAAGCUUUUCACCCGUAAACAGAUAGGCAGAUUGAGAGGGUGAACGCCUUAUUAGAGUUAUACUUAUCCUUCAUGAGUGUCAACCAAAAGGAAUGGACUAAGUUGCUAGAUGUAAUCCAAUUUUCAUACAACUUGCAAAGAAGUGAGACAACCAACAAGAGCCCGUUCAAGCUAGCCAUAGGGCAGCAACCAUUGACUCCUCACACACUACCAAUAGGCUAUACGAAGAGAAGUUCAGCGGCUUUGAAGUUCACUAAGGGGUGACACGAGCCAACUGACAUAAUAGCUCAUACUUGGAUAGGGCCGCUAGAAAGAUGAAGAAGUGGGCUGACAAAAAGCGACAUCACACUGAGUACAAGGUCGGAGACAUGGUCUUUGUCAAGCUCCUUCCUAAAAAAUUCAAGUCACUAAGGCCGGUACAUAAAGGCCUUAUGAUGAGGUAUAAAGGACAUUUCCCCAUACUUGGAAAGGUCGGCAAGGUGUCCUAUAGAGUUGAGUUACCACCGAGGUUGAAGAUUCAUAUCGUCUUCCACGUAAGUUACAUAAAAUCAUAUCACGAAGACAAGAAUUAUCCAAGCCAAGGGAUGUCCUAGAUGACACCUACAUCGAUUAUGACCUUCUAUGACAAGGAAGUAGAACACAUCAUUGCAGGCUGAGUCAUCAAGAGAUGAGGCGUGCCUCCUGCUACGGAGUACUUGGUGAAAUGGAAGGGACUACCAGAGAACGAGACUAGCUGGGAGCCAAUAGAUGCACUAUGGCAAUUUCAGGAGCACAUUAAGUGGUUCUAGGUGGAAGGUGCGACAAGGACGUUUACGGUUUAGGUAGGGGAGAGUGUCAUAGAAUGCUUCAAAUGAGCCUCCCCAGGGGUUUAUAUAGAGCCUAAGAAGCUUUUGGAGACUCCUACACUUAGUCAUUGGUGGGAAAAUGGUGGAAGGUUCUAAAGAUGUCUAAAGAUAUCCACACAUCUCUACACUAUGGUGGAAGGUAUGAGAGAAGUCCAAGGCUUUCUAGAAAAUUCUAGAGAUCUCUUGUAUAUUCUUGUACAUAGGCUUGUACAUAGAAUUGUGUAGGAAGUUUUAGAUUAUUCUUGAGUUGUAAGGAACCCUCCAAGAUUCCAAAGAGUUUCAUUGGUGCCUAUAAAUAGGUGAAGGCCUCAUUUGGCCAAGGCACCAAGCAAGUGAGUUCCAAAGCACUUGUAAAGCUUCUUUUAAGUAAUAAAAGCUUCCAUCCUUCAAGAUUUAUCUACUACGCCUUAUAAAGCUUUCAAGUUGUGAGCAUCUUAACCUAGCAAGCUGAGCAUUGGGAGCAAAACUGACUUAGCAAGAUCAAGGGUCUUGACUUGUCUAAGUGUCGCACGAGCUUAGGAAAAGACUAAGUUCAUGACACCUAGGACUAGUAGCAUGCACCCUAAGUAAUCCAAGGCUAGAAAUGAAAUGAUACAAGGAUUCCCAACACUUGACUUAAUUCCUUAGAAAUUGAAACUCAAUAAAAAACAUUAGUGUCAUUAACCUCAUUUUUUUUAUUACCAAUACUUAAUUAGGGGAAACCUUGAGCUAACAACCUCCUCAUUUUUUAUGAUGAUAAAACUGUACCAUCUAAAGAAAGCUUUCCUUAAUGUAUGCAUAUUAUAAGCAAUUUAAACAUUCAUCAUAAAAGAUGGAAAACAUAAACUCAAAUGGAGACAUGGAUAUAUAGAUAUAAGAGACAUCAUAAAGGUUGCAACAUGAUCGUAUAUCCGAAAUAGCAUCCAAAAGCAUGUCAUCCAAAAAAAAAUCAACCAUAAUAACCAUGUUCAAAUUGUCCCAAAAAGGAAAAAAAUAUAUAUAUGAAACAAAAAGUAUUAAAUAGUUUACUAAAUGUUAUGCCCUAGAUACCUAAAGAUAUCUCCCCCUUAGGCAACAUCGAAACAAUGAGGGAACUAUAUGGCUCAAGGUUGAGGUGGUGGAAACAAGGAACAUAGGACAGCUAUUGAAGAAGCUAAAAUUCUUCAUAAAUGAUUGAAUUUUAUUUCACCAUGAGAAACAAUACAAAGAGGGAUUUUUUUUUUUUUUUUUUUUUUUUUAUCAAGGGGAAGACCCCUUUCUCUUUACUACUUAUCCCUUUUAAUAAAAAUUCUUCCACAUUUUUCCACUUUAUUUUGCCAACAUUCUUUCAACCCCUUUUGCACAAAAAUGCCAAAGAUAGUAUUAGGAUAACCUUUUACAACCAUUGCUAACUUUUGACACAAGUUGCUAAAAAUUGUUGAAGAUUUGCUUUUAAUGUCAGGUAGGAUAGCAGAUUGGUUCUAAUUGAAGGUCAUUUCUUGUGGAGGACCUUACUUAUAAGUGAGAUGAUUGUUCCUAUCUUCAUGGUUUUAUGUUGUAUAGUUAUAGAGACUUUUUAGAGGCUAUCAGCUUUAGAGCAAAUUUAUGUUGUUUGUUAGGGAUUAAGUAUUUUAUUCAAAUUGGGUGAAUGGUACUACCUCUUUACUUGAGAUGGCUUUGAGAUUGGGUGGUUGAAUAGUAGUACUUUGGAAUGGUCUAGUUUUUGUUCGCUUUAGCUAUCAUUUUCUUAUGCUGUGUCUAUAGACGAGUGGAGACGUCAUUUGGAAAUUGGUCAAAUUGCCCGUGAAAUUGAUCAAAUUGUCAAGUUGUCAUCCUAAAAUUGACUAAACCUAGUUUGUAAAAAUGAGAAACGACCGUCACUAGCGACUAACAUCUUCUCAAGCUAAGUAUUAAUAGAUCCAAUCUGAGCAUAAAGGGCAUCUUAAUGUUGCAGGUUCAAUGCUCAUGAAGCAUAAUAUUUUGGAUACUUGGUGUGAGACACCUCAGCAUAAGUCUAAUCCAUAAGGAUAGUCUCCUCAGGAGGUUGAGAUGUGGGCAAUUGAAUGGUGGCAUCCAUGCCCUUGGUUUGCAUCUCCUGUUGAACAUCCUCACCCCCUAAUCCUUUAUGGUCACCCUCAGUCUCUAUCUAUAGAAUCUCUGCCUCUUACUCAACCCGGUCUUCAUUCAUAGCAGGACCCUUUCUUUUUCUUUCCAAUGAUCCAUUAGGCAAUUUCUCAAACAGCAUUCGGUCUGGAUUUUACGUUAUAGGUAUCAUAGGAUGAGGCCUGAAUGUUUUUUUCUCUUCUUAUGUCCACAUUGAAUGCUUUCAGGAUUUUUGUGAUCAGUCUUCUUCCGUUGGCCACUACUUUAGAAUUGCUUUUACAACAGUUUUUCAUGUGUUGAAAGAUGAUAAGGAAACCUUAGAAUGGAUCGGAGUCAAUAGAAAAUGCUACAUAAUAGGACACCUUGUCUCUAUGUCCACCCUUAGGUAGAAAAAUAUGUUUGAUCAUGUGGUGGUGCACCCUAGAGAUAAUGCUCAAGGCAUGGGCAUGGAGCUUUGAAGUCACUGUGUCGAUGGGUAAGUUACAUAUCCUCUAGAAAGCCCUACCUAGGUUAAAACUAGACACUAUAGGCCAUCCCUUCGUCUCAAAUAAACAAAGUCCCCCACAAAGGAUCUCCAAAAUAUCACAAAGCAUAUCAAUAUUUAGUUUAAUUCAACUCCUCUAACAAAUGUGCUAAUUGGCCUUCAUAUAUUUUAGGUUCAAGUAAAAUACCUGAACAAGGUUGGGGUAUGUAGGCUCUCUUGAUGAGAUGGUAUUGGUGAGUAUUUUUUUUUCUUCAAUACAAAACUAUUACAACACUUGGUUUUUUUUUUUUCUAAAAAAAAAAGAAAAAUAAAAAUAGUUUUAUAUUAUACUUAGUUUCAAGAAAAAUAAUAAUCAAAGCAAAAUGAAAAAAAAAUUCUCAUAUUGGUUUCUCGUGAAAAAUAUAAAAGCAAAUAAAAUACAAUUAAAAUUAAUUAAAAUCUUAUGUAUUUUUAAAUUAUUAAUUUUUAUAUAAAAAAUGAAAAAUAGUAUAAUGAAUUUAGAAGAAUAUAUAAAAAUAAUGUAUUAACUUUAAAUCUUUUUUUCUUUAUAUAUAUAUUUUCCCUUCAAUUUUCUAAUACCAACACAUAAUAAGGUUAAUGUCUUCUAGCCAACCAAUUGUAAGUCAAUUUUCAUAGAGCUUUUUUUUUUUUUUUUUUUUACAUGCCACCAAGUAGUUAUAUAAGCAUUUUUGCAUGUUAUUGUUAUCCAACAUACAAUAACUAUAACAUCCAAUUAUUAUGAACAUGAACAAUAAAAUUAGAUGCAACUAACUAUUUAGUGUAUAACAAGAAGUUGGUGAAGUAAUUCAUCCUAACAUGAUUCAACAAUUUUUGUUUAUUUUUCAAGAUUAAUUAUAACAUACCCAUUCUAUUAAAGUUGUUGAGAUAUUUGAGCAAAACUAAAAAUCAACAUUAAUUCAUUUUAUACCCACAAGAGAAAUAAGAUUUGUUUUUUUGUUUGAUAAUAAAGUAGUUGUAGUUAUUAAUGAUAAUUUUGAUCCUAAUUUAAUAGGUAUCCAAAAAAAAAGGAAAAAUGCAAGUAAACCAAUUCUUAUCUAACACAAUUAUUACCACCUUAAAAUCCUGAGGGGUAGCUCAGUUGAUCAGUUCGAGUCCCUUUAGGACCAUGAAAAGCUUACCCGAUGGUUCACCUUAAGAAAAGCAAAGCAUUUAUAUAAUUCAACUGGUAGUUGAUAAGUCUUAGAAAGGGUUUUGCCAUCAUUGGCUUCUCAGUAAAGGGCAAAUUUGGGUUGUGGCUGACAAUUAUUGAAUUUGUGAAGAAAUAUGUGAAGAAAGGAAACAAAAAGAGUUGAGGACAGAAUUCUUCAAUUAAAAAAUGGUUAGCCCAUGAACCCAUUCUUCAAACAGUAAGCCAAUGAGCCAAUGAGCCAAAAAGAAAGAAGAACAGCUGGUUUCAUCUUUUUAUCUUAAUGACUUUGACAACCCAUCUUUCUUUUAAAUACUUGUGACUUUGGAAUAUAAUUAAAAUGAAACUUUGGAAUGCCCACAUCUGAUUCACGGCCUUUUUACCUGUUUUCUUGUUUAACAUUUUUUUAAAUAUUAUAACAGAUGGAAAAACAUGAUUCUAACAGGCUGGAAAAUAGUGGAAGUUGGAACACCAACCAUAACCAAACUAUACCUUCCAUCUUUCUCCAACACUCGGAAUUAUUGAUACAAGUUGGUGGUUUUAUGAUUGUUUCUAUUGAGGGGACCCCUCUCCAUUUCCAAUUUCAAUGGAAAGGUUCUUCUUUCCCUACUUUUUUUUUUUGUUUUUCAAAUUCUUGUAGUUUUGUCUGUCUCUCUCAACAAAGCAAACUGCAAUCACUAAUUCAAAGAAAAGGAAUCCUAAAUGAAAAGAAAAGAAAGGAAAGGAAUGGUAAUUUAGGCUAUGAUGAUGCUCCUAUAUAAUGGCUGUAAGUCAAUAACAACACACUGGACCCGCCUCCUAUCUCAAAAGAUCACAAACCCAAAUAUCAUAUACUUCCAAAUUUCAAUUUGGUUCCCUGUUUAUAUCACAAUCUGUCCUAUAUCCUCUUAAUACAUCUAAAAUCUCUCUAUAUCAUAAAAAUAAUGAUGGAAAAAAAAAUUAAAAAGAAAGAAGGAAAAAAUGACAAAAAAAAAAAAACCUUGGUGCUGCUAUGGGUCCAUAGGAAUUGGCAGGACUGCACUUCUGGAUCCCCUUCCAUGGCCAAAAGAAAAGAAUGAUCUUCGGAAUCUGCUGCUGCAACCUUCACUAGGGCUGAAGUCACUGACAGGCCUGUUCUGUUGCAAAAUCUCUUGAAUUGCUAAAUACAGCUGCCUGUCGUUGGAUGAGUCCAUUGAAAAAGACCUCCUGAUGGGUUGGAUUGAGAACUGAUCAUCUUUGCCUCUAGUGUCAAUGCACUCAUCACCCAUGCUUGCAACAUGAUGAAACUUCCUUGCCUUUUUAGGCACAAUUCUCUGCUCUAGCUUCCUAGGUGAUGGACUAAUUGAUGGCGCAGAUAACUCUCUGGAAUUCAGUCUUUCUGGUGGCCUAAGCAGUGAUGAAUCAGCAGAACUAUCAUUUCCCAAUUCAAUUACUACAAAAUCUUCAUCCCCUCCUAUGUAAUUAUUGGCGUAGGGGCUUGGAUCUUGGGGGGAAGAGCUAGGAGCAAUGAUUUGGUGAACAGGAAACCGGGGUGUGGUUGAAAUGCUUGUUCUGCAAAGUGGGCAAUUAGCAUUGCUUUGAAGCCACACGUCUAUGCAAUCUAUAUGAAAUAUGUGACUGCAGUUUGGUAUGAUUCUUAGCUUCUCUUCUUCUUGAAACUCAUUCAAGCAAACCGCACACUCGCAAUGGCUUCUUUCUCCAAACUCUCUGCCACCUCCUUUCCUGAACUGGAAUAUUGGGAUUGAUCUGAUGACUGACUCGUCCAGGCCUCGACUCUCGAUUGCUGGGGAGUACACCAUUAAAGGGUCUUCCGGGUGCCGACUCCUUGAGAAAGAAAAUCGUCUCAGCAGAUCAAUCCGGUGCCAAUUGAGGCAGCAUUUGAUUACAAAGAUGUAGUAGCUCACCAGCAAGAAAGCAGUGGCCAGGAUUCCUAUUACGGCAAUGGCUAUAAUGGGGAAACUGGUGUCCGAGGAAUGAGAGGGAGAAGGAAGCACUGAGCUCGCCUGGCUUUUGAUGGGAGAAAAGGCUUGUGAUCCAUGGAUGGAGGAGUCUGUGCUCACAAGAUCCAUGAGAGAGGCUAUGAAAAACAUUUAGAAAUGAGUCUAUUCGGAUCUUCAAUUCACAGAAACAUGCAAAUGCUAGAAUAAAAUCGACAGACACUCAGAUAUAGACCCUACAGUUGUAAUGCAGCAUACCAUAAAUGUGAUUGAGUGAGUGAGGCUGAAACAGCAAAUGGGUCACUUCAAGAUCUCAACAAGACAGAAAACCCAUGUUGAAUUCACCAGGAGAGUAUUGAAAAGGGAAAAAUUAAGGACAUAUAGCUGUAUUGAAAGUUGAAACAAAUGCAGAAACAUAGAGAAGAGAGAGAGAGGGAGAAAACCCAGGAGGGUUGAAUGAGAGCGCUGCUGGGGAAGACAUCAAAACGCUUCAAAUUCAAUGAGAAUCUGUUGGGGACCUCUUUAAGAGGACUGCACAAAGCCUGAGCGUAGGGUACGUGGUUGGUUGGUGAAUUUCUCGGCUUCCAAAAGAGAAAUUUGGUGAGAAAAUUUUCAAGUCUCUUGAUUAUAGUAACGUAGCGUUUAUUUUAAUUUUAUGUAACCGAAACUAAUGGGCUGGUUCAAAAAAAUAAAAAAUAAAAAAAGGAACUUUCUAGGAUAGGCCAGCAGUCCACCGUUGGUCAUGUGGUUUCUUUUGCAUGUCCACAUCUUCCAACUAGUGGAGGUCCCUGUCACAACAGUAAGAAAACACCCAAUUGAAUAAAAGUAUGAACUUUUGGCUCCCAAUAUUACUUAUGCCCUCAUUCAAUACCUCAAAUAAAGCAGAGAUUUUGUGUCCCAACUUUUAUGAUUUCAUUUCAUCUUACUUCAAAUGCUAAUGACAAAAGUCCAAGUAUAUUCUGUAAUCACCCACACCCCAAUAGUUUUGAAUCACACUUGAAAUAGUUCCCAUGCUUUCUUAAUAAUUUAGAUAAUUAUUUACAGAAAAAAAAAUUCAGAACAGGAUGAUAAUCAUUUUGUGAUAGCAUGGAAGAAACUUUACUAGCCACUUUGGCCCCAUGAAGUUGAGUACUUGAUGCCAAUUAAUGGCAGGGUGGAAAAUAGAGAAAAGGGAUCAUAGUCAAAUCUAGAGUACAAGGCAUUGAAUCUUUGUUAAUAAUUAACAAAUGGGUAAAGCAUGGGUCACAGGGUCUACAGUUUGGAUUGCAAAAACCUCAGGCUUCUAUAAAAAGCUCAUCCAUUAUCAAUCAUCAAUCUGAAAGCCAGAAAGUCCAAGGCACAUGCAACCCACGACAGGGGUAAGAUUUCUGCAUCAUGUCCCUGAGUUGCAUUCACAUCAUAUGUUUCCCUCCGGGCCGUUCCAAUUUGAAAUCUCAUGGAAAUCUUCAAGAGCAAGGCUACAGAGUUUAAGAUAAUACUAGGGGUGGGUCCUGAUGGGAAAAGAGGUAGUGUAGGAUAGUCAAUAAAGGGCAUGUGUCUCUGGUGUGAAGUCAAAUCCAGUGUACCAUCCUCAAUGGAAAAUUUAGAAAUAGAACCGACACUCUACAGACUGCCGUGUUGACAGAUUAGAGAAAGACAAACCCACUUACACUUGCCUCAAAACCCAGUCCUGCCAUUUCAAAGGCAAAAAAAAAGGGUUUCUUUUUAUAGUCAAAGGUUGAGGCCUGGCCUGGCCUAGCAAAGAAACUUCACCUACUCUUUUCUUAUUUUUCAAAUUAAGGCCAUUCAACUUUUCCUGUUUGCAGGCUUGCUGCCAUAUCUUACUCCAAAAAAGGUGAAAACCCAAAAGAAAAAGAGUGUUUGCUUCAAUGGAAAACUCAUGUUUAAUAAAUUCACCGCACGAGUUUUGUUCCAGCUUUUCCUAUGAAAGCUGUGAUGCGUUUGGUAUGAAGUUGAUUUUGUUCCUAAAAAUUUUGAUCUUGGCGUGGAAGGCAACUUUUUCCUUUUCCCCCUUUUUCUUUUUGAAAAGUUCGGCAUUAGUUACCAAAUGUCCUUUUACUUGCAUGUAGGACAGCGGAAGCAUUACACAUCGCAGCAAAAUCCCAUUUACCCGAAUUUUCCACUAACUCUUUUUAUUUUUUACCAUCAUUUUUUAAUAGAAGUGAUGCACUCUUCAAAUUACAUGAAGCUUUUAAGAAGGUAAUAACCCGUUUCAAAGCGAACUUAACCUACAGAGUAUGUUUUAAAAAUAUUUAGGUAUUUGAUAAAAUUUAAAAAAUAUUUUUUAAAAUCUUUAAAAUGAUUUGUAAUAUUGAAAAUUUAUUUAUACUUUUUUUAAUAAAAAAACAUUUUAUAGGUAAUUUUUCUAAAAUACUUUUAGAGAAAAUGUCUUCCCUUCACUAUAAAUAUUAUAUACUAUCAAAUACACUUUAAAAAUCUGUUUAACAAUAAUUUUAUAAAGUGUUUUUAAUUUUAAAAAUAUUUUUAAAAACAAAUUAAAUUUUUGAUAAAAUUUAAAAAAUCUUUUUAAAAAUUUUGAAAAAUAUCUCGUAAUAUUAAAAAAUAUAUAUAUUUAUAAUGUUUUUUAUAUAAAUACUCAAAAUUCAUUUAAUAGUGAUUUUAGGAAAUGUUUUUAAUAUUUCUAAUACUUGAAAAUUUUUUAUCAUUUAAGUAUUAAAAAUAUUAAAAACACUUUAUAAAAUCACUUUCAAAUGGACUCUUAAUGAUUUUACUAAAAACACUUUUCAUAGAAAACAUUUAUAAAAAAUAAUUAUGAAAUACACUCUAAAUUAAGUAAAAGUUGUUUUUAACAUUACCACUAUUUAUUAAUAGUGCAUUUGUUUAAAAUAUUUAUAUGAAAAAUUCAUUAGGGUGGGAUAUAAAUAUAGAAGUGUUUUUCUUUAUAUAUUUUUUAUAAUAAAAAAUGAUUUUUGAAAUUAUAAAAUUUGAAUUUAAGAAUCAUUUGAUAAUAAUUUUUGUUAAAGCACCUUUAAUACGUGGUGCUUCUAUUGAUAGCGCUUUCAUUUCUAUGAAUGGCUAUAAAUUAUAUUUGAAUAAAUUUUUUAUAAUGUAUUAUAUAAUAAAAAAAAAGUCAUUUUUAAAAAAAUUAUACAUUAAAUGAUUAUUCAAAUAGUAUUUCCUAAAUUUUAUUAAACAUUUUUUUCAAAAAAAAAAAAAAAGUUUUCAAAUACUAGAAAACGUUUUUAAUCUCUCACACGAUCACAUCCAAACAAGUCCUAAUGCUACUCCUAGAAACACUCCAAAACAAAAGUCUUCCUCUAUUAAUGUUCAUAAAAUCCACAUAUAUUCUUCCAUCGUUUUUUCAAAAUUCAAAAUCAUUUCUAAAACAUCAAAUCAUGUUCUUUGGAUUGGCUGACUUGUUUUUUGAAAAUAGAAGGCUCAUUAUUGACGUCCGUUGACUUCAUAACCCAGUCUUGAUCUCUUGAUGGAGGGCAUAAAUGUAAAUUGGACGAAACCCUAGGGUGCGCUAGAGUGUAGAGGAUGAAAGGUUGGAAAAAGGAUGAGGUGGGGGUGUAAUAAAGAGGAGGGUUGGGAGAAUGGGACAUGUGUAGGUGAAGCAUUAAAUUCAAGACUAUGCUUACCAACAACAUAUAAAUAAAUAAAUAAAUAAAUAUAGGAACAGCACAUGGGGUGAGUAGGAGACAUCAGAAGAUGUGAACAACCCCUUGUCAGUCCAAUUUGCGUCUUUUAUCUACUCUAUUAUCUAUAUCGAUUUUCGUAUUUAUUUAUUUAUUUAUUUAUUUUUACCAUUUGAUUUUGCAUGGAUGUCGAAGGGUUUAUUGGCUGCCACGUGUAGGGUUAUGGUCAAGAUCACGUGGGGUGCCUACAUGGGAGUCACGUGAGUGCAUGAGGCAGGCUUGAAUUGCAGGAGGAGCAGGAGCAGAGCAGUGGCUGUUGUCUUAAGACUUUGCUCUCUUGGUGGAACUGCAGCUUAAGCAGCAUCCACGUGUUGUCACGUGCAAUGCGAGCCAUCCACACCACCAGUUUCUUUUUAGUGAUUUUCUAAAGUCAGUUAAGGUUGCAGUCAAUACCUUCAAAUGUUGACAGAGUUAGGGAUCUUUGUUAAAUGGAUUUUAUUAAGAUAUUAGUAAGUUAAUUAAUUGAGGGUCAACAUAACAGAUGGGUCGGGUUGGGUUGAAUCUGAAUUUAAAACGAUUUAAUUUAUGUUUAAUCAAAUUUAACAUUUAACUCGAAGCACUCAACUUAAGUUUAAUUGAAUCUUAGUUUUCAAAACAUUAUUUAAAUUUGGGUCAUUUGGAUUAAAGUCAAAUGGGUUAGAUUAAUCGGGUUAUAUGGUUCAAAAUCCACUUACCUUAUUUUUUAUACAUUAAUAUUAAAAUUUAAAUAAAAAAUAUUAGAAGAAAUUUCAAACUUGGGAUUAGUUGAUUGUAGCCAUGCAUUUGGAUGUUGGUAUUCUUGUUUCUUGUCUUGUUUCCAAAUACCCUUUCAAAUCGCUUUGUUAUUCAAUAGCAUCCUCCCGAUCAUUUAAAAAUUUAAAGAGCAUUGGUAUGAUGGAGGAAUUCAGAAAUUUUAGUUGAAUAAGUAAAAUUUUUCUCUCAUAAAACCAAAUAGCCUCUAUAGCUCAGUGGUAGAGCGUCAGUCUUGUAAACUGAAGGUCUGUAGUUCGAUCCUGCAUGGAGGCAACUUUUUAUAUUUCAUGAUCCAUUAUGCUCUAGUGAUUUAGUUUUCAUUAUAAUUUUAGAUUAAAAAAUUACAUCAACAUUUGAUAAGUUGGUUAUGACUUUGAUAUAAGGAUGAAACUAUCAAUAAUAUAUAUAAAUAUUUUGACACAAAAUAUCUAAUAUAUUAAAAAAUUAAAAAAAAACUCUAAAAAACAUUAUAAAAUUAUAUAUAUAAUUUAUCAUAUUUAAUAAUAAUAUCUUCUACCCUAAUAAAAAAUAUAAAUUUUAUAAGCAUACAUUUAUUAUUACAUUGUAUUAUAUAUUAUUUUACAAGAAUAUUAUGAUAACAUGUCUAAUUUUAAAAUAUAUUUAAUAUUAAAAUUAUCAUCAAUUUUAAUUUAAAUGUAUUUAAUGAUAUCAAAUAAUAUAUAUAUAUAUAAUUUUUUAAUAUUUAUAUAUUUUUAUAUUUAAUAAAUAUAUAAAUUAUGUAAAAAAAAAAGACCUAUUAAGAAGAUUAUGUUUUUAUAUUUGGAUCAAAAUUAAGUUUUUCCGAUAAAAUAUAUGAAACUAUUGAUAAAUUAUUGAUUGAAACGUGAAAAAAAAAAUUCAAAAAAUAGAUGAGAUAUUAGUAAAAUAUCCGAAAAUAUUGAUUGAUGAAUAUAUCAUUUCAAAUUUUGCAUCAACAUCCACAUAUGUUGGAUAUAUUGGCCAAAUAUAUUUAAACCUUGUUUCCAUGAGAAGUCUUUCCUUCAACAAUUUCAAAAGGUUAAUGAGGUGGUUUCCAAGAGAUGUGUGUAGGGGUCUCCAACGGGCGGGCCGGGCCAGCGGGCUUUUUGAAAUAAGCCAAAAUGGCUUUCAAAAAAGGGAAGGGAGAGGAUUUAAACCCCUUCCUUCAUGCUUAAAUUUCAAGGUUCUAACCAAUUGAACUACAUUCCUUUAAUGUUUAUUAAUUGAGUUAGUUAUAUAUAUAUAUAAAAAUAAAGUAUAUUAUUUUUUAAAGGGGCGGGCCUACGGGCUGGGCCGGGCCGAAAGCGGGCCACGGGCCACGGGCUUUUUGGAGACCCUUGGAUGUGUGCAAUCACAUUUGGUAUUAUAGGUGACAAAGUUUGAUAAAUGAGUAAUUAUUAGGUUAACUUAUAAAAUCCGAAUUUGAUUUAAAUUGAUUCAUUUAAUAAUCCCAUUUAUUUACCCAAUUAAAACUUUAAAUUAUUUAACUUAUAUUUAAUUUAAUUAAAAUUUGUUUUUAAAUAAAUAGAUCAAUUAAAACAUAAACAUAUUUGAUUGAAACAUUAAUAAUAUAGAUUUAAAUAAGACCUAAUUCAACCUAACGAUCAAAUAGAAAUAUCUAAUUAUUAAAUAAAUUAAACAUGUUACUUGCUUAAUAAUUAUGUGACAUUUGAAUUUAUGCUUUUGAUAUAAUUAUUAUUUAUAUCAGGUUUAUAUAAUGAAAUAUCUAGACUUUGACACCAGUCAACAUUGUCCACCAAUACAGAUUGCAACUCUUAUAUGCUACAUCACAUCAUGUUGAAGGAAGAGGAUGACGUUCAUUGGCAGCAGAGCCUCCAAUCAUAAGGAGCUUGAGCAAAUUCAAUCUCAACACUGAAAUUCACUAGAAAAAAAGUUUAUUAUUGAUACUUCAUUUGUGUAAAAGCAUUAUAUUUCUUGCAUCAAUCGUAAAGCAUGACAUUCCAGUAGGUACGGAAGAGAAAAUUUGUUAUGAAUUGAAAAAUCUGUCAAGCUUAAUUUGGAGGGCCCAAAAUUGACACGUUUAAGAGCUCUAUCAUUAGCCCAAUGAUAAGAGUCCAUUUCUUGAGUUUCAAGGAAGGCCCAAGUUUAACUUAGAGGGCCCAAUCUUGGUACCUUCUAAAAGGUGCAAACUUUGGCCCAAUUAUAAAAGCUUAUCCUUGCUUCCUAAGCAUCAAUGAUAUAUUUGAUCGAAGUAUUCACAUAACUAUCACGAAAUGAAAUGAAAUGAAAAUGUAUAAGUAAAUGAUGAUUUUGAGUUAUUUACUGACAAUAAAGAAUUAGGUGGUGUUUGUUUUUUUUUUUUUGGCUUUUUACUAAAAGCAAUUUGUUUUCAGAAUUUAGGUUAUUUAUUUUUCUAUUUUUUCAUGACUUAUUAUAAACUUUUUACUAAAUAAGAAAAUCCAAAAUAUAUAGUUUUUUCUAAAUAGAAAAAAUAACAUAUUGGUUUUCUUUUUUUUUUACUUUUUAAUAUUUAAUAGAAAUAAAAUAUUAUAAAAACAAACAACCUAAUAUUUAACACUAUUAAGUAUUAAGGUUUUAUUUAGAAUUAAGUAAAAAAACAAACACUACCUUAAAAUGAAAAGUAUGUAUAAUGACCUUAUACAAAAAAAGUCUCAUUAUUUUCUUCCAAAGAACUCAUACUUUUGUUUUUCAACUAUUACUUUGUUUUUAUUUUUUAAAUAAUAUUUCAAGUUUUUUUUAAUAAUACCUUUCUCUUUAUUAGAUAAUUUUAAUGACUUUAAAAGUAUUUUAAUAUAUUAAUUUAUUAUAUAAUUUUAAUGAUUUAAAAAUAUUUAAAUGUUGAAAUAUUUAUUUUCAAGUCUAAUUUUAAUUAUUUAUUUUUUGAAGUAUUUAAAUAUAUAAUAAAUGUGGGAUUAUGUAAAUCUAGUUGUAAUUAUUUAUUUCAUUCUAUUCAUGUUUUUAGUUGAAUUUGCUCAAAAUUUACACCUCUUUAUUUAAAGAUCAUGGAUUAGUUAGGUGUCUUGAGAUUUUUUUUCUCUCAAGACACUACUUGUUACACUAGAAAAUAAUUUGUGGCUAUAUUUUUUAGGCAAAAAGAAUUAUAUGUUAAAACUUCCUUUAUUGACUAGUUUAUCAUAGGGUGUAGAGGAAAGUUUGUGAUGUCUUUUUAUGUCAACUUUGGGAGAAAAAUAUCACUUUAGCAUUUUCCUUAGAAAAUUUUCAUACAUAAUUGAUUUUGGAACUAUGGAGGAGCAUAAGUAGGGAUAGAUAAUUCGAUUUUGGAAAAAUUAUAAUAGCUUUUCAACUUGGUGUUAAUGAUAUAUUGUUUAUUUCUUAUUUUUUUUCCAUUUUAAUAUAUAAUUGGGGAUUUUAAACUUGUAGAACAAGGCUUUUUCAAUUGAAUUGACACGUACAUAUGAAAGUUCUCUUUGGUUGCUAAUCACAUUUUUUUUUCUUUUGCUUUUUGUUUUUAUCAUAAUGAAUAUUGAACUCGAAAUUCAGUUUUUAAAAUCUUAUGAUGUUUUAAAGUUUAUAAAUAUUAUUGAUUUUUAUAAAUGAUGUUAUUCAUAUCUUGGUAAAGACAAUAUUUUCAUAUCGGUCAAGAUGAUUAAUAACAUAUAAGUUCAUAAAGAAAAACCUAUUGAUUAAUGGAUAUUUAAUGAUUUUUAUUAGGAAUGUUUUUUAAUUAGUUUCAAUACUCAUCUUUUAGAGCAUACAUAUAGGGUUUUAGAUGCUACAUUGGUUUUCAGCUUGUGAUUUAAAUUAUUGAAGCAAAAAAUGAGGGUUUUGCUUUAUGGAACUAUCUAAAGGGAGGUGAAUUAGGCGGUCUUCCUUUUUAAAAUCCAAAAAUUAGAUUUUUAAUACUUAUAUUAGUUAUACAUGUGUUCAAUAAUUAAAACAAAGAACAAGUCCAUAAUUUACAUGUGAUGUGCAUGGAAAAACACCUACAAAUUCUCUCAAAUACUUUACAAAUGAAAAAAAAAUCAAGGAUCGAUCAAUCACAGAGCAACUUCACUAAAUAUGAAAACAUGACUAUACAAUUUUACUUGGAUGAGGUGCUACCUUCUCUUAAGGGUUUUUACACUAGCCAACAAUUACACUCACCUUCACUCUCACCAUGCACCUCUAUUGUGCUCCAUAGUAAACACUUUAAUGACUGUAGCAAGAUUGCGAUAAAUUACUGCGAUUAAUUUGAGAGUGUUGAUAAUGAACAAAAAAUAAUGAUAAUUAACUAGAGAGCAUAUGAUUUUGUAAAAACACCAAAAAGAGGCAUAGUUAUAAGUGAAAACUUUAAUGGAUUGGAUUGAAUAUAUAAUUGAAGUAUGAAUGAAAAAUUACCAAAACAAUGUUCAAAACCGUGCUAAUCAAAGCACAAUCACUUGAGUACUCUCAUGGGGCACUUGAAUGCUCCUUUUAAUCACCGUAAUGCUGAAAUUAAUAAUUUGUCUCAAAUUGUUUUUCCAAAACAUAAAGCAAAAUAUUAUAAAUUUAUAUAAUCAAACCCAAUUUCAUCUUAAAGCUAGCCUACUUAGUCUUAAUUCAUGUCCAAAAAUACUCAUACUUGUCAAAGAAUGAAUAUGGUAUAAACAAAUUCUUUAUUUUCAAUUAUAUUCAAUUAUUGAAAGAAUAAAUCGGUUUACAUACAUUUUGAACAAAGGUAUAUACACAUAGACUAAAUCAAGGAAAUGAGGAAAUCAAUCACAAUCAAAUCAAAAUCAAAUGAUAGGUUGAUAUCUAGGAGAAGGUUAAGUUAGAACCAACUCAUGUAUUCAAUAUUCCCCCUUAAGAUGGCAUAUGGAGAUCAUGAAUAUCAAACCUAGAAAGUAAGGGAUAUGAAAUAUCUAUACCAAGGGAUUUUAUGAAAUAUCAACCAAUUGUUGUUGUGAUUAAACAAAUUGAAUAAGAAUAAUUUCAUUUCGAAUCUUUUCAUAGAUCAAGUGACAAUCAAUUUCAACGUGUUUAUUCUGUUCAUGGAAAAUUAGAUUAAUAGCAAUGUAUAGAGUUGUAUUAUUGUCACAAUAUAGAUGCAUUGACCAAGGAUGAUGAACUCCAAAAUCUAUAAGUAAAUAUUGCAACCAAUGCAAGUAGUAAUCAUUAAAUAAUAUUUCACUUUUCUUCAUGAGUGUUAUAUCAUUGAUUGCUUUUUAGAUCUUCAAGAGAUUGAUAGGCCACCAAGUAAAAUACAAUACCCUAUAAUUGAACAUCAAGAUUAUGCACAAUAGGCAUGGAGGAAGGCAAAAGAAUUCCUUGACCUAGACGAUUUUUUAAAUAGUAUAACACUCAUGUACUUGUGAGAUAAUUGAGACUACAUUGGCUUGUCAAGAAUUUGAACAUAAUUAGCAAUAUUAAGCCCUAUCAUUAUGAGUCAAAGUAACUUCCCAAUCAAAUGCCUAUAAUAAGAAGCAUCCAACAAAGGUUCUCUAUCUAAUUUACUCAAUUCCAAAUUUUGUUUCCUAGGAGUUUUUAAAGUUACAUGUUCCAAGAAAACCAAAAUCUUUUAGUACUUCUAGAGCAUGUUUUCAAUAACUUAAAUAAAUCUCAUUCUUAAAAUAUGUCAUUUCAAUGAUGAUGAAGUACUUUAAUUUUCCAAUCUCUUAGUUAGUUUGAAAAUGCUAUAUAGGUUUUCCUUGACCACCUUAAUUCCUUUAAGAUCAUUCAUUGUAAUAAUUAUAUCAUAAAUGUAAACAAGAAUGAUUGUGAAAUAGUUAUUUGAGGCUUGAGCAAAUAAGAAGUAAUAUGUACGUCUUGGCUUGCUUGUAAACCAUAAACAUCAAUGUGAUAGAUAAUUUGGCAAACCAUCAACGUGAAGCUUGCUCAAGGCCAUAAAGGGAUUUUUUAACUUUGCAAAUCAUAUUUUUGGUUCUAGAUUUCCUACAAACUUGGUGGAAGCUGCAUGUAUACCUCUUUAUCUAAGUCUUCAUAAAGAAAAACAUCGUUGAUGUCAAGUUGGUGAAGAUGUCAAAUUCUAAUUAUACAAUAAUUAGGGGUGACAAUGUGUCUUAUCGUGUUGAGGUGAGAAAUAGUGAAAAUUUACUUAAUCCGACUAUGACCCGUUUGAUAAUCGUGUCAAAAUAACCUAACAUGAAUACAAUUAGUUUAUUUCAUGUAACAUGACCCUUUUAACAUGUUUAAUAAAUAUAUUAACUUGGAUUAUGUAUUAAUUGACAUGAAUAACUCAUUAACUUGAUUUCAACCCCUUAAACUCAUUAACACAAUUCCAACCCAAUAAACUCGUUAAUAUGAUUUAACUCAUUAAACUUGUUAAUAGGAUUAUAACCUCUUUAACCUAUUUAAAAUUUUAAAUUUAUAAAUAAUAAAAUACUUCUAGAAAGUUUAAUUUUUAAAAUUUGAACUAUAAUACAUGUAUGCACCAAUUUCAUGAAGUCCUGAAAAAUUAGCAAAAUUAUAGAAAAAUAAUAUAAACAAAAAUUUGUAUUAAAAUUAAUAAGUAUGGGCUACAAUAUUAGUCAUAGUACUGCUUAUUUCUGAAUGACUUUAUUAAAAAGCGAAGAAUACAUGUGUAGUUCUUAUGUGAUUUCUUAAACUUGUAAGGCGAUUUUAUAAAGUUUUUUUUUUCUUUGUGAAACCUCUUUUUCUAUGUGAAAUUGUUUUGCCGAUUUGAAAUCUUCAUUAAAGGAAGUUACUAUUAUUUAUAAUUGAAAUUAGAGAAUGAAAUGUGGAAUCCCCAUGAUUUAGUUGCUUAAUUCAAGGAAUUUGAUUAAUUGAUUUUGGUAACUUGUCUCAUAAAAUUUUCUAACAAGAAUAUUUAUUUUUAAUCUCUUUUAUUUCAAUUGGAAUAUUUGUUUCCUUUGUAAAUUUGUCAAUAGAAUAUUUAUUUAUUUAUUUAAUUCUCUUUUGACUACAAUGAGAAGAUUUGAUUUUGUUUGUAAGACUAAAUUUUAUAACCUUUCAAAUUUGGCCAAGUGACACCUUUUGAAUAUAUGUCACAUGUCAAAUGUGUGUGACUCAUUAGUUGUUGAACCUAAAUUUUCUUGAAUUAGAAAGCUAUACUUUUGAAGACUAAUUUAGUGAUAAUUUAAUUCAUUAAAUUUUUUUGGUGUCUACAGUAUAUUUAUAAUAUGAAAAGUAAAUUAAAAUUUUAAUUUUUUUACUUGUUUAUUAUUUUAUUUAUUAUUUAAUGAUAAAUAUUUUUAUUCUUUAUUGAAAUAUAUAAAAUUUUAAUUAAUAUUUUAAUUUUUUUAAUUUCUAUAUAUAAAAUAUAUAGAUUUAUAUGGUCUAAUUGAGUCAUUAAAAUAAAUAGGGUAAAUAACUCACACAUAAGUGAUGGAUCAUUCUAACAUGAUUAAAUUAACAAGUUAGAUGAAUUGAGUAGUCAAAUACAAACAUGAUUUGUUUAUUAAAUAAGUUAUAUGAAUUGAUACGAUUAUGACAUCAACUCAAUUAAACUUAACUCAAAUAAGCUUUGUCUUUUAUUUUAAGUUGUCUAGUUGUUCACACAAAUUUUCUCAAAAUAAAGAAAUUAUAUAUAAAAUUGUAAAUUUGAUUAUUUGAGGGGACCAUUUUCAAUACUCUUUUUUAAGUAAUCUGGUGUUUAAUUUUGAAUCAAAGGGGCUUUCAUUAACAAAUAAUAGACUGUAGUUUUCAUAUAAGAAGAAAUCUCAAGCCUUUUUUUCUUGAAGGAAUCUUUAAAUUUUCUUUGAUACUUUAAAAAAUCAAUCUUCUUUGAUUUUUUAAGAAAUCUUUGAAUUUUCUUAAAGUCUUCAAAAAAAAAAAAAAAAAAAAAACUGAGUUUAAGGAAUUUUUUUAAUAACUCUCCAAAUUUCUUUGAUAUUCCAAAGUGUCCUUUAGAAGGGGACAAAUCCUCUAUUUACAGGAUUGAGAGUUUUAUUUUAAUAUUAUCUCUUAAUUUUUAAGAAAUAACUCUCUUAUUUAUGAUAAUUACUAUUUAUUUUAUUUAUCAUAAUUAGUUGCCUAUGAUAAUUAUCAUAAUUAAUUUUUCUAGAGAUAAAUAAUUAUAUAUAUUUAAUUAAUCAUGAUAACUAUAAUAUUUAUUUAAUUUUUUAUUAAAUUAUUUUACAUAACAUAUCAAUAUAUAUUAUUAGUCAAUUAUUAACACCGAAAAUUAAUGAGUUGGCAUAAAAUUUAUCUCUCUAUAAUAGUAUCAAAGCGAGCCUUAAUAAUAACAUUGCUUAUAGUCAAUUUCACAUGCCAACUUUUUACUGGGCAUUGGCGAUUUCAAUUUUGAUAGUCCGGUUAGAAAAAGUAGGUAAAGAUUAUUUGAUGUGGUAGGUCAUUUCUUUCAUAAAGACGAUGGCGGUGAAUUCAUGAGACAGGUGAUAAAGGAGAGAUUCUUUCUUUUGGCUUUGGAAUUUUAAUGAGGUCCUCGAUCCUCAUCCAAAAUACACCUCUCCAAUUAUAAAAAUCUUAUUAAAAAAAAAAAGAUUUGACAUGUGCCUUUCGAACUGCUGGUUUUCUGUUCCAAAAAUGAGAAUGGUUUCAAGUGGAUGAAGGAAGGUGAAGAACCCUUGGUUUUGUUAAGCGAAAAGCCACAUGAUUAAAUAAACAUAAGGCGGCAAAGGCUGAAAAUUUAAAAUUAUACUAAGGAACCCACCCCACAGGGCGACUACACUUUUGGUGAAGCCACGAGAAUGAAAGAUAUCGAAGGUGACACCAAGACAUUAAGCAGCACCAAGGUUUCGAUAUAUUAUAAGAUGGGAUCUUAUGAAAGACGAUCUCUAAUCUCUCUCCAAUCUCUUCUUUAACCUUUUCUUACUUAAAUCCAUUUCCAUGGUAGGGCACAUGUCCAGCUGACCCUACCCCCUCACCUACCUAUACUGCUAUACCCUUUUGUAUAAUUUGAUAUGGAUUGGAAGCCACCCCAACAUCUUUCUAAUUGCUCGUAAAUGUUGAGGUGCCUUUCCAUUUUGAGGCUGCCCUAAUGUGUGGCUGAAGUACGUAGGAAAAAAAAAUUGUGAUACAUGCACUGACGAAUCAAAUCCCAAUGUCAAAUUAUUAGACUCACCUGGUUCUUAAAUUAUUGUGAAUGCCGCUGGCCAUGGAUAAAUGGAAUUAGUGCGUGGCUUAAUGAAAAUUUAUUUUGAAAGGGAUAUUAAUUUGAGAGAAUUUUGGCUGAUACUUGGAGUUGAACGUAAGCAUAUAUGACCUCAUUUCGGGUGUGAUAUUGUGCUUAUAACGAACCUUUCGUUCUUUCCAAUUCCAGUGGGUAUUAAAUAAUUAAAGAAUUCAUGGUUCGAAGGCGAAAGGUAGAAGACCAAAAAGGGAUUACAAAGCCAUCGGCUUGACCAUCCAGAUGCAAUGGAUACAAACUUUGGACUCUAUCGAAAGUUCUUUGGGCACGUGCCCAAGUGUCCUACCCAUAUGAUAAGUUACACGUGGCUAAUUGCGGACCGGUUGCUCGUGCUAAACAGGGUACUUUUUCUACGCAUAUAAGAUGUUUCACUAGUGGGGCUUCACCAUGCAAACUCAUGGAUGAAGACCCUGAGGCCAAGAUGAAGGAACAGAAAGAAGGCGGAGGAGAGGUUCGGUAUCGAGGCGUUCGGAGGCGGCCAUGGGGGAAGUUUGCUGCGGAGAUACGUGACUCGACUAGGCAUGGAGCGCGCGUCUGGCUCGGGACUUUCAAUUCUGCGGAGGAGGCUGCAAGAGCAUAUGACCGAGCUGCUUAUGCCAUGAGGGGUUCCUUGGCGAUUCUCAACUUCCCUAAUGAGUAUCAUACACCCGGCACGGCUAGCUCUUCAGCUUCAUCCUCAAUGCCCGAAGGUGAUCAGCAGGGAAAACAAGUCAUUGAAUUGGAGUACUUGGAUGAUAAGCUGCUAGAGGAUCUUCUCGACUCUGAAGACAAAAAGAACAAGAAAACCUGAAGUUUCUGCUGCCUCGAAUCCCCUGAAAUCUAGUGCUUCAUCGAAAAAAAAUCCCCUCGCUCCUGAUUAACAACAUUUUUAUUUUAGUCAAUGAAUGUGUUCUCGGAUCAUUAUAAGUAUUUCUGCCGAAGUCCAUUGAUUUUUGGAGACUGAAAAAUGUCAGAAAAAUUGGUGCGAACAGGUUUACUCCUUUCUAAAUUAUGCAAUUGAAGUAUUUGGAUUAGUGCGCAGUGUAAACAUCAAGGAAAGCAUGAUCCACUAUUUUAAGGAGCCUAAGUGCUUUCCCCUUUACUCUUUUAGGAUGUCUUUUCAGUGAAGAAAGUUGGGAGACCACCACUUACCCUUUUGAUUGGUAUAUAACUGCCAACUAAUAACUGGACUAACAUUUGGCCCGUCUGGCCCUACUUCUUUGACUUUGUUGUUAAUUUAUAACUUUAUGUGAAGUGGGGGCUGUUUGGGAAUGUGUGAAGCAAGGAUUUGAGCCGACUUCGCCUAAUCUGAUUCUCCAUAAGUGACUUCAUUUUAUCAUAUUGGUGUUUUUUUUCUUCUUCUUUUUAAAUGGCUGGGGAGGAGGGGAUUUGGGAGGGAUGCAAUGCCAUGGUUGCAUGCUGGAUUAUCCUUCCAAAUGAAACAUCCAUUUGGUUUCUAGUAACUAAUUGCAAACAAUUAAAGAGAAUAAAAUUUUAAGAUGAUUAAACAAUAAGUACCUAUGUCCAUGAAAAGGAGAGAAGUUCACUCAUGGGUGUUCAUGAAAGACAUCACAAAGAACCAUCAAUAUGAGAAGAAUCCUGAUACAAUUAACUUUCAUGCAUAAGAAAAGACGCUCAAAAAAGAAUAAUGCUUACAAGGAAAGAAUCUCACUACGAUCAACUGAAAAAAUAUUCCAAUUUAAUUGGAAAUCCUUACAUGGGAAGAAUAUCAAUAAAAUCAACUAAAAAAAUAUUUUAAUUUUAUAUCAAAAUAUUUGUGAUUUAACCCGUAUCAUUUCAUCAUGACUUCUUAUAAAUUUUGUUCCUUUUUAUCAACACCACCCCUUGAGUUGGAGCAUAAAUAUUUAUUAAGCUAACUUGAACAAGAUCUUGAGAAAUUUUGUCGCAGGAUUUGUUUGCACUUUUUUUUUUCAAAUAAAGUCAUAAUUAACUUUAAUAUGUUUAAUCAUUUCAUGAAAUACUAGAUUUUAAGCAAUGUUGAUAGCAUACUUAUGCCUGAAAGCUUUAUCCCAAAUCACAUGAGUACAUGAAGUGAUUGCAUCAUUAAUGGUAGUAUUAUUACUUUAUAUUCAACUUCUCCACUUGAUAGGAUGCAUGAAAGCAUUGUGCUUUCUUCUGUUUCAAGUAAUAAAGAUUAUCACCAAGAAAGGUGCAAUUAAUACCUAGUAACAGAGUACCUAGUGGUAGCAUGCACCUAUCCACUGAACUUGUACUCGACUCUAUGAGUGUACGUUACAUAGUCCUUUUUUCGAAGUCUAAAUGUCCCUUGAUAAAACCUUCUAAUAUUUGAGGUUUUGGUAACAUUCAUGUAUCAAUGAACAAAUUAAUUUACUAGCUAAACUUUAAAAUUAGGCAAUGUUUUUCAAUGGGUGAUCAAGAUCUUGGAAUUUUCAAUGUUGUUUGAAUAGCUUCCACACACAAGCAUAUUUUCUCCUAUUUAGGAAUAAUCCCUUUUUUGAAGGUGUGAUCUUUAUGCUCAAAAAAUAAAGAUACUCAAAAAUUUAAUAUUGACCUUCUCGUGAAGGAAAAGCUUUAUAACUAAUUUUUUUUGUGCAUUAUAUAUAUCCUCAAUAUAGACUUUAAAAAAAAAAGAAGUAACUCCCUCUACAAAGAGUGAAGAGUCAAUUAAACUUUUUUUUUUUUAAAAAAAAGGAACCAAUUACUCGUAAAAGUAAUGAUUAUUUUUACAUACCAAACUUGAGGAGAUUACUUAAGAUCACAAAAGUUUUUAUUAAAUUGCAAGCUAGAUGCAUUUGAAACGAUCGUUGAUGUCUUAGCAACACCUUAUGUAACUCAUCAAUCUUUAUGUAAAAAUGCAUUUUUAACACCCAUAUAAAAUAAUGAUCAAUCCUAAUUUAAUAGAAACAAAUGGUAAUACAUGAAUAUCAUUCAUAUUAAUGAGAAAAGUAAAUAUUGAUUUAUAAUCAACUUCUUAAGUUUGUGUCAAUGCCUUAAUCAUUAGUUUAACUUUGUCAUUCAAUGAUACCAUCAUUACGACAUUUAAUUAACUUAGAUUUGCGUAAAUCCCUUAAUCACUAGUCUAGCUUUAUGUCAUUCAAUGGUACCAUCAUUAUGGUAUUUAAUUGAUCUUAUACCCCCAAUUUGUAUACCCCAUGUUUUUCUUAAUUUACCAUACAUCACUUAACAAUGUUCCAUGCAUGGAUUUUGUUAAGUGCCUUAAGUUCCUUUUGCAUAGCCUUUCUCCAAAUUGGAUGAGGAUUGGCUUCAUUAAUGUCAUUAGACUCAUGAUAUAUGGAACUCAAACAAUUGUUAAGUGAUUUUGUAUAUAUAUAAAAAAAAAAUUGUAAUUAAUGUGGUAGGCAUAAAAAUCUCACAAAUGAGGAUUGAUUAAUUGUUAUAAUUGAGCAACAUGCUUGAGGCUUAGUCACAAUACUAGAACUUGAAGUCAGACAUUCUCUUCAAAUAAGGACGUAUAUACAUUAUAUUGGAUCUCCAUUAAACAAGUAAAGAACUAUUUAGUAGACAAUGAAACCUCAUUGAUCAAUGGUGGUAGAGAGACACAUGAUGACCAGACUAUUCCCCUGGAAAUGAGAAUAAAAAAUAUCAUUAGCCGCAAAAAUCUCAAAAAAAUUUAGAUAAUGGGAUAUAAAGAGUUUAUGAAUUUUACAAUCAUAACUCUUAUACUGGUUUAAGUGGUAGAGUAAUCAAGAACACAAAACGAGUUUGAUGAGUGGUUGAGAUAUGAACAAAGCAAAGAUUUCCAAAGACACCAAAAUCAGAAAUCUCAAUUUUUGGGCUAAGGAUUUCAAGAAGAAAUUUAAAAUUAACUACAUGACUAGAAAAUUUGUUCAUCAAGGAAAUAGAAGUAACGAUAUCAUAACAUCAUAAUUAAUCAAUAUUUUUAAUAACAUGCAUUUGGAACAUGAUAUACCGGCUUUCUAAUAAUCAAUGAUUUUUGGUUCAACCACACCAUUUUGUUUUGGGAUGCCAAUACAACAAGUUUAACGAANNNNNNNNNNNNNNNNNNNNNNNNNNNNNNNNNNNNNNNNNNNNNNNNNNNNNNNNNNNNNNNNNNNNNNNNNNNNNNNNNNNNNNNNNNNNNNNNNNNNAUGUAAGUGCCAAAUUAGGUAGUGUCGACAAUGAAAUGGAAAUUUUGGAAUAUAGAAACAACCUCAUUUUUAUGUUCUAAUAAGUAAACCUAUGUAGCAUAAGAAUAGUCAUUAAAAAAAAAGGUAACAAAAUGUUGAUUUCCAUCCUAUGGAUCAAUUAGGACACAACCCCAAGGUAAACUAAUUUGAAAGUUGCAACAAAAAUGGAAAGAGAUGAAAAAAUAAUAGAGGAAUUUAAGGUUGUUUCAAAAUUUCAAGACAUGCUAAGAAACACAUGAGAUUAUAGAUGAUUAGGUAACAACCUUGGUUAAGUAUAUUCAACAUAUAUAUCCCACGAGGAUAAAUAUCUUCACUAAACUUUUCCUAUUAUUCAAUCCCCUAAUACCAUACAAGUGAAAAAUUAAUGUCACGGUCAAAAAUUUUAAUAAGCUUCCAAAGAGAUAAUAAUUUUGGGGAAAAAAACAACCUAAGAAACCUAUGAAUUGAGAUAAUUUAGGAAAAAACUAAAUGUUCGUUAGCUCUAGAAGGGAAUUGAAGCUCAUCAUCAAUAAAGAUUGUUGCUAUCUCGAAUAAUAUCAAGUAAACCAUUAAGAUCGCUAUUAAUGGUAUGAUUAGCAGCACCAAUUAUCGACAAAAAAAUUAUUAAAAAUAUAAGAAAUGAGAGCUUUAAGAUUAUCUAAUUGAUUUGUAAACCUAGGUAAGUGAAUCAGUAUUACGUUUUGUUAAGGAAGCUUAGAUCCAAUUGGUAUCAUUCACCAAGUUAUUGGAUUAAAUUACACUAUCAAACUUUGGCUUUAAAUGAGAAUGAAGAAUCUAACCACAAUCCUUAUUGGGAUUAGAUAUGUUAUUGCAAUAAUGUUUACAAUCGGAUGAGUGCUAAUUUCUAUUGAAAUCAUGAAGCAAUCUCUGAUCAUUGGUCUUCUUUGUAGAAACAUGAGCAUUGAAUUUAAAAUUAAUAAUUGUUACUUGGGAUUCAACCUUCAUAAUCAUUGCCUGGGUUUCCUAAUCACUUUCAAGAAUUACUUAUAUAGUGAAGGCACUCGAAACUAAUCAAAUUUGUCCUCUUAUAAAGUUGUCAUAUUCAAGCUUCAGAAUAGCCAAUAAUUGAAAAACUUAUCAUACUCCGCAAUUUGUUGAAGAAUAUUUGGGUCUAUUGAAGGGGACAAUAUAGGGAAUAUUUGUCCCAUAUGCUCAAAAUGUUCAAUUAACAAAGUGUUCUGUAUGUUUAGGGAUUUGUUAGCUUUAAUUACACAAAACAUUAGCAGUUUUAGAGAAAAUUAAUUUUUUUUUGCAAUCUUAGGUUCCAUGAAAUUAAAAAGCCAAUAACAAGUCAAUAUGGCUUGAGACCCAGUCAUCAUAUUCAAAGUCAUCCAACUUAGAAGCAUUCAUUUUGCCACUAACAUGUGCUAAUUUCCAUUUUCUAUCUUUCAAGAGAAAAAGACUGCUCUUAACCAUGGCAAAUAAUUGAACCCAUUAAGAAGAUUGAGGAAAGUAUCAUAUGAGGGUUGUCAUUUUCCUCCAUGACAAAGAAAAAGCAACAGAGAAAAACUCAUAAUAUUAGAAAGAGAAUGAAAGAAAUUGAGUCAUAGAUACACACAGAAGAAUCCAAAAAUAAAGCAAUAAUACAACCACAAAUAUGAGAAGAAGCUCAAUUACAAAGAAAGGAACUCAAUACAAUCAACUAAAAAGCGUUCCGAAGUUCAUACGAAAAUAUUCAUAAUGUGAAGAUCAUUUCAUGAUUCCUACAAUUUCUUCCUUCUACCAGUCCACUCCAUACAAGGUUUGAUCAACAACUUCUUCAUUGAUUUUCUGGUCUCUCUCCGGUGUAUCAUAGAGCAUUUUUGACAUGUUUCUGCAAGAUACACUUGUUAACUUUAAGCGACAUAAGUGCAAAAAAAUAAGAUCAUGUUGUAUUGCCUGUGCUUCCACUCUGCCUUGUUUAGUACUAUUAUGGAGCAGUACUUCCAUAUAGAACCAGUGAUCUCCAGUUCAUUAUGUUGCCUUCUUUAAACUAACUUUAAUUAUCUAUACAUAUAAAACAAAGUGGUCCCAUCAAGGGGCUAAAUCAAGAAUCAAGUGGGGCGAACAGGAAACAGUGGCAUCAAUUUUUAAGUCCAUAAGCUUUAAUAAAAGGAAUAAAACCAAGGAUAUGAAUAUGUUAUUUUUUCAUUUGUUCAUGCACUGGAAGAUCUUUCCUCUUCAAGCAUUGAACCAGCAUCCUUCUGUGCAAGUUGCUGUCGGAACCUUCUAUAAUUGUCAGAAGUCUGUUUCUGAAAUAUACAGAUAAAACUUUUAGCAAGUCUUGACAUUGCUCAUCACUAGGACAUUGUACUAGGAUACCAAUUCAUCUAAUUAGGGUUAAGUUGGCAUCUCGUACACUAUUUUUUAUUUUUCCUUCAUCUUUUGUUCCCAUUUGCAGUGGAAGUGGCACUUAGAAUAUCUGAUCAUGAAGAAUUAGCUUUCGGUGAGAUGAUACUAGGUCAAUUGCCAUUAUCUUUUUGAGUUACUGUGCGAGCAAUCUUGAAAAUAUUUUGGGAUAAAUAGAAUUUGUGCUUAUCAUAAACAUGCUAAACAUCCAAAUCAAGUGCUUUUACUAUUGAUAUCAAAUCAGUAAUUGAUUUUAACCUUUAUGCUUAUCUUUCAGAUUCUCAAUUAUGUAUCUUGAAUAAUGAUAUUAAGCAGAAAUCAUGAAUUGAAUUGCUUUAAUUAACUGUGCCUUAUCAAGCUUGUCAGCAGUGCUAUUGCUACCGCGAAUCAAAUUCGCUGUGCUUCCCGCCUUCUCCAAAUAAGCCACAAGCCCAAUUAUAUCCGCCCUCCUCCCAUCUCCAAGGGAUCAAAAAAUAAAAUGACUUCAAUCAAUUUUCAAGUUUUCCAUCUUGAUCAGUAGACCACCCGGCAUGAAUGUUACCCUCAGUUUAGGAAUAGGAAUUCCUUUUACUAAUCAUUUGGCACUAAAAACUAUGACCCCUAGCAAUUCAUUCCCUCCAUUAGAUAUCUGGGGGCAUCUUGGCUCAGCCAAAAAUGAUAAGUCAUUGCAUUUCACAUUGCAUUCAUUUGUAUUAAUGAGCUAAUUUUUUUUCACAGAAUGUGAUGUGAAUCGAAUUACUUCCAACCAUGUGUCUCUAUAAGGGUUUAACAAAUGUAAUUUGCAUUGUCUGUACACUUUUUUUUCGGUUUCUUUUCUUUUUUAUGCAUGAUUCAUUAGUCCACGGAUCUUCUAUGCAAAGUGUGCAGGCCAAACACCUCCUUCAAUGCAUUAUUCUAGAAGUUAAGACUCAGUUUACUCCUUAAUUGAUCUGUUCCAUUUACUUCAAAUCAUUUGAUUACAUUAAAUGAAUCUUGAAAUUCAAAAAUGCAUCAAAGUUAAAAGACCUUCCAAUGCAUUAAGAAAUCAUCUGAUACAAAUAUAUGUGAACCUGCAACAACAAUAAUGUCAAAAUGGAAAACUUAGGUAGAAAAUAUUAGAACGGAAACUUACGACGAACUCAAUUUUUGGCGCCUUUCUUCUUCUCAUCUUCUGAUCCAAGAAGCUCUUCCAACACCGUGUCAUCCAAACACUCGAACUCAAUGACUUGCUUUUCUUGCCCAGAAGAGGAACCUCCCAUCUCUAAACUCCUACAAGGCCCAGAAGAUGACGAGGAAGACGAUGAGGAUGGUGAUGGUGGGGGGCGAUGGGAGCCCAUGAUUUCAGAAUAGUACUCAUUAGGAAAGUUAAGAAUGGCAAGAUGACCCCUUAAGUUAAAGGCCGCUCGAUCAUAGGCGCGAGCUGCAUCCUCCGCCCUGUCAAAUGUGCCUAGCCAUAGACGAGCACCUUGCCUAGACGGAUCCCUAAUCUCGGCUGCAAACUUCCCCCAUGGCCUCCUCCUCACCCCUCGGUAUCGAACUUCUUCCUUUUCCUUCCCUUCCUGCUCCUGCUUCUCAUUCCCUUUCGAAUGAUCUUCCAUGCUAAACGUGUCGAUUUGCUAGGCGCAAUUUUUUUGGUUUCAAAUGUGCUGGUUUACGAGAGGCAUGGAUGCUUAUGUAUAUAUAUGGUUGCCACAGUCAGGUCUGACGUCACCGCUCAAUGUAUGUUCCACAGCGUGGGUUGACGAGCUUUCUGAGGGGGUUUCCUCGAAUUCAAAGCAAGUAUAAAAAUUCGAUUCUCCGACCUUUCCAAUGAGGAUCGAACAGGCCUUUUAUUAGAACCGUAUGAUAACUCCACACUGUUUUCAAAUAGUCAAUGUGAUCUAGAUUCUUCGUUAAUUUUUUCCACCUGACUGAUUGUUUACAAUUUUAUUUUUCACCGUCCCAAAUUUAAACCAUUUACGCGAUUCCCUGGAUUGCAUUUUUCUUUAAUGUUGACUUUACGAGGCAAUAGGACCCCCCAGCAACCCCACUAGGGCGACUUCAUGGGAACCAGAUUACUUUUGGAUCCAGAUAUGGUCCAGAAGAAAUAAGACAAAUCAAUUAAUGUCCACUAAAGUUUUGAUGGAACCCUUAGUCCGUGUUUCCUGUGGAUGUAUGUAUUGUAUGCACCUCAAUUUUCACCAAUCCCUGCUACGAGUCCCUUUAAUUUUGACGUUAUAAAUGUUUUUCCUGACAUUAGCAGAGUGUUUUUCUGCCGUCUUUGAGGACCUUCCACGGCCCAUAAACUAAUAAGGAUCGUCCAGUGAAUUUAGUCUUCCCCAGUUAAUUAUCCUGCGAGGGAAACUUGGGCAGUAAGUUGCCUACAUGAGUGGCUCCCGCCUACAUGAGUCAAGGGACCAUACGUCAGGACGACAACCAGUGUGGUCACACCAAAGUGGGUUGCCUGGACUCCAGGGUGGUCGCUUCAAAGUUGUCAAAUGAAGGCUAGCUUGGCAAGUUUUGGAAAACAAUUAUUGAAAAACAUUUUUCAUGAAUAACAGUUUCUAUGAACAGAUUUUAAGAAAGUUUAUUUUGUGAUUUUUAGGAAUAUUUUUAAUUUAAAUUUUUAUAUUUUUAAUUUUUUAUUAAUUUAUUGAUUAUUUAAUAUUAGCUUAAUUAAUGGAUUUUUCUUGGUCCCAAAUUAUUAAUUUAUCAAGAUUUAAUCGCAUCCAUAAUUAGUCUAAUUUCUUUUGGAGUGAGUGUGACAAAGUGCAAAUUUCUAGAGUUUUAUUAAUGUUAUUCAAUGUCAUAAUUUAACUAAUUAUAUUAAUUAUUUAUUAAUCAAAAUAAAUCAUUCACUUGAAAUAUGAUAAUUUAAAUUAAAAGUUUCAAUUAUUUAUUAAUUAGCAAAGUAUGAACUUUUCUUCUUGUUUUAUUAUUGUUAUUCCAUGUAUAUAAUUUAAUUAACUGUUUCCAAUAUUAAUCAAUAAAAAUAGAAUAUAAGCAUGAGAAGAAUUAGUAAAAUUCAUUGAUUUGGAAUUAGAUAGCUAGAGGAAGAACUUCAUCAUCUUCCCAUUACUUAAAUUUGUAUAAAUUCUAAAUAUUUAAACCCCCCCCCCCCCCCCCCCCCCCAAAAAAAAAAAAAAUGGUAAAGAAAGACUCCCCAAGCUUUCUUGGUUGGUGUUACCCUAAAAUUUGUACAAUAAGAUGAACCAUUUGGCUUAAAGCUUGGUGCGAAACCCCUUAUCAAUUGAAAAUAUCAAUGAAGUUGUUGAAUGGUUUUAGAGGACUAUUCUUAUGCAGAGUGGCAUAAGAAGCGAGGAGAUGAAGAGCGGAGAGACGUUAACAUCGGAUGCUGCUACGAAGGUGGGAAUACGGUUAAUUAAUUAGAUUUUGUGAUGGCUUUGAGUUUGAAGGAGUUAGUUUAAUGGGUAUUAUUAGUGAACUGAUAAUUGGAUUUGAUGUAAAGAAGGUUGGUCCAUUGGAUUAGCAAUUGGUUUGGCCUUUUGGGGGCCCCAUUUCCAAAUGCAUUGCCUUUUACAAGCAUUCAACAUCGCUGGACGUAACCAGGCUUGGUUCACCUAAAAGUAUCGCAUGGAUUGAAUUGACUAAGUUUUCAUUGUAGACUAGCCUUGAUUUUCCCUUGACCUGCCCACCAAAUCCUGAUGCCCACGCGAGGGAAUACCUCAAUUUUCUAAUAAUUUAUGCAGUUUCUCUUCAAAGCUCGUGUGAUCACUUGGGUCGGUAAAAUAAUGCAUUCCUCUACUUUUUCUCCCUUCCUAGAUGCAUGUUAUACCAUUAAUUCAAAUGUGAACAUGGGCUUGGCUUUGAAACUUGGUUCAAGGCCCAACAUGUUGACCCACAAUUGAGGUGUAAUUGAAUUUGUACACUUUUCGACUUUGAUACCAUUUGUCAUUACCAUUGACAUUGGGUCAUUGUUGAUUUUGAGUCCACAACUUUUAAGGUUGUUAUUACAAUUUUAAAUUGCGCCCACCCAAUUUAUAUGCAUUAUCCCUUAUAAAUACCGAUAACCUCUCUUUCUUCGAUAAUAUAAAAUGUCACAUAUAUUAUAUAUCUCAAUGUUUUCUUUUACUUUUUUUUUUUUUAUCGAUCGACAUUCUCUCUCAGAUGAUAUGAGAUGUCACAUAUAUUAUAUGUUUCAAUGUUUCUUUUACUUUUUCUCUUUUUCCUCAUGAUUGACAUUGUCUUUCUCAAAUGAUAUGAGUUGUCACAUAUAUUUUAUGUCUCAAUGUUUUCUUUAACUUUUUUUCUCUCUUCUUUAAUGAUCGACGUUCCUUUUCUCAGAUGAUAUGAAAUGUCAUAUAUAUUAUAUGGCUUAAUGUUUUCUUUUACUUAUUCUUUCUUUAUUAAUAAUCGACAUUUUAAGCAAUAUGUGAAUAUAAAGCAUUAAAAUUAUCUCCAUCGUUUUUGGAUGUGGUAUAAAUACACAAUUCUUAUUUUUGUUUUAAAUAUUUCUAUUGCUAUCUAUUGAAAUUUUAUGCAUGAAGCUACCAAGUUAAUUAUACAUAUAUCUUAAGAUUUUUUUUUUUUUUUUUUAUAGGAUAUAUUGUCCAUGAAUAUUUUCUGCAAUGGUAUCUUGUUUGAUUACUAUAAGAAAUAAUAUAUAUAUAUAUAUAUAUAUAUAUAUAUAUAUAUAUAUAUAUAUAUAUAUAUAUUAUAUUUCAAUGUUUCAUAUUUGCUUAAAAUAAAAAUUAUAUUUUAUCACAAUAUUUGGUAUUAAAAAAAAUGAAAUCUCUCUCAUUUAUUAUUACAAAAAAAUUAUAAUUUAUAAUUUUCUAAAUAAGUUUUAUUUAUUUGCUAACUAUAUUCAUGAUUAAAAGAUUUAAAAUUUAUAAAUAAAAAAUAUUAUGUCAUGUCAUUAAAUAAAUAAAAAUAUAUGUAUAUAUUAAAAUUAUGUUUUAUUGUAGCUUUUAAUAUUUUUUUUUUUAUUCUUUUCUUUUUUGAACUACAAUUUUAAUUUUUUUUAAUCAAAAUUUUUUAAUUUACAAAACGAGUAACAUAAAACUUGCCUUUGAACUUUAUUGGAAUGUUAUAUACUACCAUUUGGCUUUCAAGACAUUAGAAAAGGCAUAAGUGUCCCUUUUAUUUUUCCGAAAGGCAUAUUAGACUAUAGUAGGAAGUGUUGUAUAGAGGCAACUAAAAGUUGCCUUUAACUUUAUGAAGUCAUAUACUCCUCUUUGGCUUUGAUGACAUCAACUAGCAAAUUGGAUUUUGUUUCCUUUGCAACAUUUUUCCAUCCAUUAGCCAGUUUUUUUAUACUGUUUGGUGCUUGCCAACAUGGCACACACUAUGGUUCUUAAAAAGUAUUUUUUUUUUUAAGAUACUACGAAAUAAAAUACACGAUUGAAAGAUGAGUCACAAUAAUUUUCAAAACUAAAUUUUUUAAUAUUGUUAAGAAAAUUUGACCACCAAAUGAUUGAUUUUAAAUUACAAAUACUUUUGUUAGCUAAGAAAUUUGUUGUUCUAUUUGUUUCCCUAUAAAUAUGACAACAAUCAUAAAUAUUUUCAUUUUAAGAUAAUUUUCAAAUAUCUUCCAUUAAUAAUAUAAUAGAAUUAGGAAUUUUUUUUUUAGUUAUAACAAUCUAUAAUUAUUUAAGAGUCUUCCUCAAUCUCUAGGUUUAAGAACUUAUUGUUCUUAACAACUAACAUGUCAUCUCUUAAAAUAAUACAUUCUGCAAUAAUUAUUGAAAUAUGAUAUAAUAUAUAUAUCUACUUACAACCAUUUUUGUAGUACCAUUAGAAUUUUUAAUUACCCAUUCUAAAGUAUUUUUAUUCUCUAUUCUUAAACCAUCAAAAUUUAAUUUAAAUCUUUCAUUAAUUGGAUAAAUCCAAUGAAUCUAACAAGUUAAAGGAUUAUGAAUCCGACAAAACAGUUGAUAAUAAAUUAAUAAUGCCAUUAAUAUGAUUUUAAUGUGAAACACAAUUAUCACAUUUAAUACAGUUAGUCCUUGUAUGAUUAAUGUUUUGGAAGCUAAAAUCAAUCUUUUGACUAUAAUAAGAGUUUCUACUAUUUCUAUUUUUGGAUGAUUUUAUAUUUUUCUUAUUGUUUUAGUUUAAUACAAAAAAUAAAAAUAAAAUUACAUUAGUAGAAUUUUUUUAACUUACUCAAAAACCUAUUUUAGUUGAAUGAUUUUUUUAAAAAAAAUAUAAAUAUUUUGUUAAAAGGGAUAAAAUAACCUUACCUUGUGAAAAAGACCUCUUCACCCAAGAUUACUUGUUCAUAAUCCUUUUAAGACGAAAAUGCCCCCUUCCUAAAAAAUAUUUCAUCUUAAACUUAUUUUUCUUUUUAUUGCCCUUUGUUCCAUCCUUCCGGCUUGGGAGAGAAAUUCAUUCUUCUUUUGCGAAGAAAAAUUCCUAUUGCGAUUUUUCAUUUCAAGUGGAAAAAAAAAUUCUUAUUUCAUUUUAAAGAAAUUGUACAUUUUCAAUCUUUCUCUUUGUUCCUAGUUGAGGGUUUUUUUUGUAAUUUUAUCUUAACACUACAAAUUUAAAGGUGAGAUUAAAUCUUAAUGGUUAUUAGUUAAAUCACAUAUCUAACUUUGUUUUUGUCAGGACCUAUAAUAUGAUUGGAACCACCAUCCAAACUUCAUUAGGUGGGAUACUCCCCACCCUCCCCCUCCCCCCGCGAAAUCCUUGGAUUUUAGUUUUGACUUGGAUUUCAAUUGCCCGUAUCAAUUUUUCUUUAUUUAUUAAUUUAUUAAUUUUCAACUUUAACAAAAGCCUUGAAUCAUAUUUAAAUUCAAAUAACUUAAUCCUAAUUAAGUUCUUUUUAAAUAAAAAUUAAUCAUUGAAAAGUUCAUGUGACUAUUAUAAUUGAGAAUUUAUCCCAAGUUGGGUUUUUUGCAAAUAAAAUUUUAUUAUAGGACAUCAUGAUGCAACAUAACAUAAGGUUGUUACUUAAGUUUGUUUUGACCUUGUAAUAUGUUAAAAUGAAAAUGAAGCCAUUGUAACAGGAGAGAAUGAUGAAGCUGUGGAGAGAGCUUAACAAAGCUUGGGUUGGAGAGACUUCACAGGAAGAGAGAGAGAGAAAUAAAGGGUAAAAUUAUCAAAAGAGAAAAGAAAAAAAAAAAAAAAAAAGAAGGUUAUGUCUUCAAAUAAUCAAUAAGAGAUGUCAUUUUUCUAAUUUUCAAAGUUCUUUUGGUCCUUCUCUACAAAUAUCCCUAUAAAAAUAUUAUAAUAUCAAGUUAAUUUGUCAAUACCAAAAUUUAUAUUUUAUAUUAGGGCGACUAAAUAACAUAUAGAAAGAAUUUUAAAUGAGUAAAUCAAAUCAAUUUUGAAACCAAAACUUAAUAAUUACCAAACUUGUAAUCUUAGUCAUUAAAAGUGUACGAUGAAAUCUAAAUUAUUAAGCAAUGAAACAAAAAAUUAAGAUUAAAAUACAAAACGUUAAAAUCAAGAUACAAACUAUUAAAAUGUAAGUGGGAUAUGAGAUGAUAUUAUAAAAAAUAGUGUGAUCCAACAAAAAGUCUAGUACAUCAUUAUCUUCACUUCCAACCAUGUUUAAAAGGUCACAAGUUCUAGCGGUUUCCAAGGACAAUGUUAAAAAUAAUAAAAAUAAAUCCAAUUAAAUAUUAAUUAAUUUAUUUGAAUUUGAGUCCGACAAAAUAGUUGGUAAUAAGUUAAUAAUGCCAUUAAUAUGAUUUUAAUGUGAAACACAAUUAUCACAUUUAAUACCCGUUAGUCCUUGUAUGAUUAACUUUUUAGAAAUUAAUAUCAAUCUUUUGAUUAUAAUAAGAGUUUCUACUAUUUAUAUUUUUGGAUGAUUUUAUAUUUUUCUUAUUGUUUUAGUUUAAUACAAAAAAAUAAAAAUAAAAUUACAUUAGUAGAAUUUUUUUUAACUUAUUCAAAAAACCUAUUGUAAGGUGAAUGGUUUUUUUAUUUUUUUUUUAAAUAUAAAUAUUUUCUUAAAAGGGAUAAAAUAACCUUACCUUGUGAAAAAAGGCCUCUUCACCCAAAUUUACUUGUGCAUAAUCCUUUUCAGACGAAAAUGCCCCCUUCCUAAAAAAUAUUUCAUCUUAAACUUAUUUUUCAUUUUUAUAACCCUUUGUUCCAUCCUUAUGAUUUGGGAGAGGAAGUCAUUCUUCUCUUGUGAAGAAAAAAUUCCUACUGCCAUUUUUCAUUUCAAGUGAAGAAAAAUAUUUAUAUUUCAUUUUAAACAAAUUGUACAUUUUCAAUCUCUCUUUGUUCCUAGUUGAGGUUUUUUUUUUUUUUUUUUUUUUUUGUAAUUUUAUCUUAAUUGUACAAAUUCGAAGAUGAGAUUAAAUCUAUAAUGGUUAUUGGUUAAAUCACUUAUCUAACUUUGUUCUUGACAGAUCGUAUAAUAUGAUUGGAACCACCAUCCUAACUUUAUUAGGUGGGAUCCCUUUUUUUUUUUCCCCAAACCCUUGGAUUUUAGUUUUGACUUAUAUUUCAAUUGUCUGUAUCACUUUUUCUUUAUUUAUUAAUUUUCAACAAGUUCUUUAACAAAAGCCUUGAAUCAUAUUUAAAUUCAAAUAACUUAAUCCCCAUUAAGUUCUUUUUAAAUGAAACUUAAUCAUGUGAAAGUUCAUGUGACUAUUAUAAUUGAGAAUUUAUUCUUAGUUGGGUUUUUUGUAAAUAAAAUUUAGUUAUAGGACUGUGAUGAUCCGUUCUCAACCGUAUAAAUAUUGUUCGUUUUGAAUUCAAAAUAACUUUUACGGCUUUAAAACAUGUUUACAAGAUUAAGAGGAGUCCAUAUUUAUAUAGCUUCACGAACUUUCCCCCCUAUUCGAUGUGGGAUGUCACAAGGACAUCAUGAUGCAACGUAUAACAUAAGAUUGUUUCUUAAGUUUGUCUAACCUUGUAAUGUGUUAAAAUGAAGAUGAAGCCAUUAUAACAGAAGAGAAUGAUGAAGUUGUAGAGAGAGCUUAACAAAGCUUGGGUUGGAGAGACUUCAUAGGAAGAGAGAGAGAGAGAGAGAGAGAAAUAAAGGGUAAAAUUAUCAAAAAAGAAAAAAGAAAAAAAAGAGGGUGAUGUCUCCAAAUAAUCAAUAAGAGAUGUCAUUUUUCUAAUUUCAAAGUUCUUCUGGCCCUUCUCUACAAAUAUCCCUAUAAAAACAUUAUAAUAUCAAGUUAAUUUGUUGAUACCAAAAUUUAUAUAUUAUAUUAGGAUGACUAAAUAACAUAUAGAAAGAAUUUUAAAUGAGUAAAUCAAAUCAAUUUUGAAAUCAAAACUUAAUACCUACCAAACUUGUAAUCUUAGUCAUUUAAAGUGUUCCAUGAAAUCUAAAUUAUUAAGCAGUGAAACAAAAAAUAUAAGAUUAAAAUACAAAACGUUGAAAUCAAGAUUCAAACUAUUAAAACGUAAGUGGAGACGUAAGAUGAUGUCAUAAAAAAUAGUGGGAUCCAACAAAAAGUCUAUUAAUCAUUAUCUUCACUUCCAAUCAUGUUUAAAAGGUCACAAGUUCUAGCGGCUUUCAAGGACGAUGUUAAAAAUAAUAAAAAUAAAUCCAAUUAAAUAUUAAUUAAUUUAUUUGAACAAUAGAUAGGACCAAAAUAAUAUUCUAAAAGGAAUCAUAGGGAAGUCCUUGGACAACCUACGACAUUGAACAAAGGUACAGUGAGACAAUGCACUUAGCCCUUCCUUGUCAUUGCGAUGAAUAUAAAAAGACACCCUGAUUGAGGGUGCCCCACUAAGCCAAGAGUGAUUCUUUUGUAUUGUAUAACGUGAAUAUUUUUGAACUUUGAAUGACCCUUCCUAUAGUCAUCAUUGUCAAAACUAGAAAAUCAGAAAGAUGCGAUGUACGAAGGCACCAUUGAAUAAGAGGCUUAAUUCUCUUUGGCAAUUAGGAUAAAGUUUCAAAAUAGAAAAAUUAAACAAAUGUACAGUGUACGGACACUUGGGCAUUGCCUAUUUGUUUUGUUCUUCUAGAGUUGUAUAUGGUAAAGGUCAUAUUGGGUUGGUUCUAUUUGGUUAUUGAAGUCGGCUAGAAUAUUAGAUUUGGUUUCAAUCUAAUCCCAUAUGAUAUUAGAAUACCAGCCCAUACAGAAUUUUUGACCAAAUAUAAUAUUUCUUUUAAAUAUAAAUAUAGUAAUUAAUUUUAGUCUAAGAUUAAUUAUGUAGUUUCCUAAAGAGACCACUUCCUAAACGGUAGCUAUGUGGAAGUUGGGCCAGGUCCUGCCGAGAAGGUUUCCACGAGCUGAGCCCAAAACUGAGUAGCUGUGAUGGGAUCAUUCUAGCAUUCAGCCUGAAACUUGUAACAUAACGGAUCGAGAGGCCUGAACUCCAAGACCAUGGUUCGUCAGCCCAUUAACUUCAACAGCACGCAUUUUAGAGGACUGGGCUUGCAAGGGGUGAGGUUUCCGGGCCGCGACCCCAAAUAUGAACAGCCUCAGAAGUGAUAUUGCUUACUGGCACGUGAAGAGCGCAAGCGUAACUAGAAGAUUUGUAAUGCCGCUUUAAUUGUUUGAUUAUAGAAUCCCACGCAUUACGCAUGGAAAGUGUAAAAGAUAAAAGAUGUAGAAUUUUUUCUUAGAGAAAAGUUCGUUUGGAUAUAGUUAUUGUUUUUUUUUUAAAUAAUAAUUGUUUUUUUUAUAAAUUAUAGAUAAUCUUAGAAAUUUAUCUUUAAAAAAAUAGUUUUUAAAAAUAUUUAAGGAGAAUAAAAGUGAUAAAAAAAAACUUUACAAUUUCAAAUUUUUAAAAAAUGAAAAUUAUUUUUAAGAAUAUAAGUUAAUCUCCUGCAUUUAAAUCUUAGGUGGUUUUUGUUUUUUUUACUUUUCGCUGAAAACAAUUUGUUUUCAAAAUUUAGGUCAUUUGUUUUUUCUAUUUUUUCAUGAUUUAUUAUAAAUUUUUUACUAAAUAAAAAAAAUCAAAAUAUGUAACUUUUUCUAAAUAAAAAAAAUAACGUAUUGAUUUUUCUUUACUUUUUAAUACUUAAUAGAUAUAAAAUACUACAAAAACAAAAAAUCUAAUAUUUAACACUAUUAAGCAUUAAAGUUCUAUUUAGAAUUAAGUAAAAAAACAAACACCACCUUAUAUUUUAUAUAAAAGUUACUUAUAUUUUGGUUUUUGGAAAUAAAAAAUAUAAAGCAUAUCCAAACAUGAGCUUAGCUAUUUUAAAUCAUAUCAAAAUAAUAAUCCCAAUAAGGUAAAUGGACUUUUAUACGGAGAAUAAUCUUUAAGGUUUUCAUUUUUAUUGGAUUUUUUUUUUGUGGUGUUUUUUCAAUCCAUCUUCUCAAUUAAUUCCUUAAAAUUAUUUUACUGUUUUUUUUUUUUUCAGUUUCUAAAUAUUUGAUUUUUCCAAAAUGCUUAAAUGGAAGACACUAAUUUUUCAAGAUAUUUGGUAUUACAAUUUUCCCUGUUCUCCCUAUUAUCUAUCAGAUUCAUGGCCCUUUUGUUUUUUCAUUGGUUUUCAAUUUAAUUUUCCAAAUAUUACAUUGUUGUGUUUUGAAUUUGUGAAACCAAUUUUAUAUAUAUAUAUAGUAUGUAAGUCUACUUUGGGUAACAUGUACAGAGAGGUUUUCAUGUGUUUGAAACCUUUUACCUCAAAAAUUAAUUAUUUUUAAUUUUAUAAUAAAUCUUUUUUUAUUUUUUAUUUUAUUUAGGAAAGCCUAUAUUUAAACUACAUGUUUGCAACGCAACACCAUACAUACUCCUAGUGGAACUUACCUUAGUGCUUGAGGGGGAUGCAGAUCUUCUUCUAAACCUAACUAAUAAGCAUAAAAUUGUUCACUAAUUAGCAUAUCUAGUAAAUCAUACAAAUUGGCAAUAUUUCAUGUUUUUCAUGUUUUGUCAAUAAAAGGCGUCUUGACCAUUUUGUGAGUUUUGUAAUAAAUAAAAAAAAAAAAAAAAAAAGGGCAAAAGGUGACUAAAAUGAGGCACUUUGGAAAGGUUAAUAACCUAAAAGGAAGAUGAAUUAAUACCCCCUUAUUCCUCUUCAAAAACCAUUGAGAAAAUGCAAGAAAUGCUCUUAGUUGUAUGCUAGGCUAACAGCCUAGCAACCAUAAUACCCUUCUUUGCAAUUGUAAGCAUUUUUUUUUUUUUUUUGAAGGCCAAACAACGUUGCAAACUUCCCAAAUCCCUUCUUUAUUUUUUAUUUUUUUAUUUUUGUUUUUAGAAGGAGAAUGAAUUUGAUGACAAACUCCUUGUCAAUCUUAUCCAAACCACGAUCGAACAGAACUCCUUGUCAAUCUUAUCCAAACCGUGUUCCACCUCAAAAACAUGUGUAGGACUUAAGGCAGCAACUGGCAAGCAUGACUGAUAGGGCCAAGUGCCCUUGUCUCUACAAUCCAUUAAGUUAACCAAGGGCAGUGAACCAUCAUUCUUUUCAAAAGCUUCAUUCCGUGUUGAAAAUGUGAGACUGAAGCAUGGUGCCCCCAAAAAUAACGAUCUAUUUACUAGCAGCAUGCCUGGACCCAUUAAAAAUACUCUACUUUAGGAAUAGAAAAAAUUACAUCUUUAUCCAAUAAUUUUAUAACAAUUCAGACGUUUCAGUCUAUAAAUAAUUGUACAUAGUUGCCAACGUUUAGCUAGUUUCAAAUGAAUAGCCUAGGUUCAUGCACCAGUUUGGCUGGUGGAGGAAAGGGAUUCGAGACAUUGAACCCUCUUUUUAGUGUGCCAAAUAUUCCACAAAAAUCACUACCUUCUCUUUGUGUUUGUUCACUUUUAGUUUAUAUUUAAUAAAUCUAUGUUUUCGAGUAGAGGUUGGGUUCAGGUGCGACCCACGUCACCUCUCGGACGGUCUUGAAAAAGGAGACCGGACCACGUAAUUUCAAAUGUAGUGACCAUCUCACUUUUACCUCCAUCCUUGAAGAUGGUUUCCCAAAUCAAUAUUAAUCUUUUGUUUACGACAAUAUCGAUCACUUUAUGUCUAUAUCGUUGUUAAUUUACCUUUUUUUUUUAGCCACAUUAUUUGAAAAUUGAUGCAAACUUUACCAACAUCUUGGUACCAUUUUAAAAUAUUAGAGUUAUUUGAUUAAAAAAAUAAAAUAAUCUCGAUAACUUGUUUAUAAAAUAAAUAUCUUUUAACAUUUAGACUAUUCUCACGCAUGCUUUAAAAUUGUAAAGAUAUUCAUAAAGUGGAACUUUAGACUUAAUCAAUAUCGAUCACUUUAUGUCUCUAUUGUUGUUAUAUUUUUUUUUUACAACAUUAUUUGAAAAUUGAUGCAAACUUUACCAACAUCCUAAUACCAUUUUAAAAUAUUAGAGUUAUUUGAUUAAAAAAAUAAAAUAAUCCCGACAACUUGUUUAUAAAAUAAAUAUCUUUUAAUAUUUAGACUAUUUUCACCAUGCUUUAAAAUCAUAAAGAUAUUUAUAUUCAUAAAGUGGAACUUUAGACUUAAACAUGAUAAUAGUUUUUUUACAAUAUUAUAAUUAUUUUAUCGUUUUAAUUAAGCCCUUUAUCAUACAUAUAAAUGUAAAUUAAUGCUAAAUUUUUAAAGCAACGUAUAACCUUUUACAUCUUUUUUUAAGAUGGUGCGAAAAUCCUAUGAAAAAUAAUAAAAGUCGAUGCAUAAGAAGAUUGUUUUGAUAAUUCAAUAGAAAAAUUCUUUUAAAAUGAUAUUAAAAAAUACCCAUAGAGCCUUUAUUAAAAAAAUCAAUUAUUUUCAUAAUAAAAAUUAUAAUUUUUUAUUAUGUAUUAUUAUUUUUAAGUAUCUUUAUUACAAAUACUUUUUUUGAGUUUAUGAGAGGAAUCAACAGGUUGGUACAAGCUUAGGCGUCCUCGUACAUGUUCCCGCUGUGCAAGGUUUUUGUCUUGUUUCGAGCUAGUCGGAAUUUACGUGUUUGAUAACGUUUUGUCCUAUUUUUGUAACGCUUUAAAGGGCGGCCCACCGUUGGAACAGUUCAAGCCAUCCAAAUCAGCCCGGAGGGUUAUGGCGACGUGGCAUGACGCCUACCACCUUAGUUCACAUGAACCCUAUGAUCGUACUACCCUCACAUGACAUCUGUGAUUCUUCACCUCCAAACCCUCUUUAACUUGGUAAUGUAUUCAAAGCUUCAUCAAAUCAUAGCGAUUAGCGACCCUCUUCCACCCUAAUUUUAUAAUAAAAAAUAAAUCUUAGUGGACAUUAAAGUAGUAUUUUGUGGGGGGAAAGAAAAACUCUAUGGGCGUAUCCACUAAAUACGAGCCAAGUAUAAGAGUUAUCACCAUGGAAUCAAAUUAUGAAGCAUUGACAUUUUAAUUGUAUUCAGAUUUGAGGAGGGCACCGCGGCACCAGCUGGCCCAGUGUAGUCUGCUAGCCUACCCGCCAUAAUGACCAAAUUAAUAAAGUAAAAAGGAUUACAGGGAUAUUCCCAACUUUAUUCUGGGUCUGAGCUGGAACUUGGGAGUUAUCACGAUCAACGGGAAAGAUGGUGGGUAGGGGACGAGGAUUGAGGGCUCCAUAUUCACAUCAGUGAAAAACGAAAUGUAUUGAGACAAGUCUUCUAAGGAUUUUCUAGCGUAUUAUAUGGUUUAAAUGAUUAUAAAUCUGUAGUUACUGGUAAAGAGUAGAGAGUGAAGACGAAAGACGUUGAGUGAAAAGGAAGGAGGAGAGGGGAUGGGGCCAUCUUACCGUGUCGGGGAGGAUCCAUAAAAGGACUACGUUCCCUGAAUCUGUAGGCAUCAUGCCUCGCCUAACGGGUUAGUCAAAAUACAGUGAUGUGUGUGAGUUGGGGGCCUCACUCCUCAUUUCUUUCCUUCUUUUCACCCCCACCCCCACUUUUUUUUUUUUUUUUUCGAAUUUUUCUUUGUCCUUUUCUCUCACUUGCGCACGCGGGAGAAGGACCACAAACUAGACAAUUCCUCUGCUCACGUGACCCCGAGUUUUUAAAUAUUUGCCUAUUUGGAAAAUAGUCAUGAAUCAUGAUCGUUAACAAACAAUCUUCACUUUAUUUAUUUAAGAUCUAUUUUUUGGAGCUCUAGUUUAGUUUAUUAUUAUUAUUAUUAUUAUUAUUAUUAUUAUUAUUAUUAUUUAGUAACUCCUCUUAUAUUAAUGAAAAAGAGAGGAGGAAUCCAAACUUGUUUAUUCUUCCUCUUUUAAGGUGUUUGUUUUUUUUAUUUUAUUUUUAUGCUUCAUAUGUCUUCAAUUUCUUAGCAUUUGUCUUAUAUUUCUUCUUAUCCGAUUCAUUAUUGCAUCCUUGGUCAAUCUUUCACGAGGAGUGCCUACUUUUUUCCUUUUUAUUAUUUAAUUCACUUUAUCUUUAUAUUUUCCUUUUACACUUUAUUUCCAAUUCAAAACGUGUCAAAAAAAAAAAUUGGUAACAAAAAAAAAAAAAAAAAUCAAUUGUAAUGAUUCUUAUAUAAUUUUAUUUAAUUUUUAUUAAACAAUAAAGAAAUUAAAAAUAUAUAAAUUUUUAAAUAAUUAUUAUAGUCUUUCAUUUUUGUGUAUAAUUUCUUUUGCAAGAAAUAGUGUAGGCUUUCCACGGUCUAAAGGAAAUGGAAUAUCAAAUGAGAAGGUAAUAAUAAUAAAGUGAGUUAUAGAUACUAAUCAAACUAAUCCACUAAUGAAUUAUUUAUUUUUAUUUCACAUGGACAAAUCCUAAAAGUUGGAGUUCUAAUUUACUUUUAUGUUAAGCUUUUUUAAGUAAAAAUCUUUUAUUAUUAUAAUUUAUAGACAAAAAGAAACCCAUUAAUGUGAUGGAUAAAAAAUUUCAAUUUAAAAAAAAAAAAAUUAAAGUUGCUAAAUUUUUGUAUUUAUUAUUUCAAACUCAUUUAAAUAAUUUAAAAAUAUGUCUUCAAUUAAUUUUAAUGAAACAAAGCAUGAUUUUUUUUUAAUUUUUUUUUCUUUACCAAAUAAAGCAUUAUUAUAAUACGUUGAUUAAAUUUUCAUCAUGUCUCUCAAGAUUUGGAUUAAAUAUACUUAGUUGUCAUAAAUUUGAAAUUUUAUUUAAUGUAUUUUUUAUUUUAAAUUAAAAAGAUGAAUGCAAAUAAAAAAAAUAUGUAUAUUUUAUAAAAUUUUAAAUUAAACGAAGGAUACGUGUAUUUAACCAAGGUGAAUGAAAUUAAUCCAAAUACUUUUUGGUAACUUGCAAAAUAUCUUGACGAAAUCAUUAUGGCAGGCAUCGUACAAGCUCAACCCUUGUCGCCUUGCUAGAAAUAGAGAAACAAAAAGACCCCCAAAUUGGGUUGCAUCCUAAAUAUGAAGAAGUGGUAACAAAGGAAGAAAAAAUGCUGUGUUAUUGAAUAGUUAAUACAUUGAACAUGAUAUGUUACAUAGAGAGCCAGAUUAAUCCUAGUGGAAUUCCACUGUCACGAUGGUAACCUAGGGUUAUGUUUGGUUAUUGAAAAUACCAAGAAAAGAAAAAAAAAUAUAAAGGAAAAUAAUUUUUUCAUUUUUGAUUGUCUUAUAAAAGAUAUAAAAAAAAAACAAAUAUAAUUAAAACUAAUUAAAAAUUUAGGUAUUUUUAAAUUAUUUAAUUUUUAUAUUAAUGAGCGAAAAUAAAUAAAAUAAGUUUAAAAUAACAAAAAAAAUAAUUUACCGAUUUUUAAUCUAUAUUUUAUUUUACUUUUUCUUUGUAUUUUUUUUUUCUUAUAUUUUCCCUCAAAUUUUCUGAAUCAAACAUAGCAAAAAAGGAGCUACCCCUUUCGAAAGAAACUCCCAAGAAUUUCAAAGAAACCUGCUGAGAUAAUGAAUGAGGGAUCACUGUCGGUAAACAGUAUCCAUUCUUUUGGGAGGACUUUCAAACUGAGAAGUUGUUUUCAUGACUUGGAAACAAAAUUUUGAGCUCUAAGGGGGUCUGUAUUUGGGCCCUAAAAUUCAAUCCAUCAAUCUGAAAAAUGCUUAGGAUAAUGAUUUGAUUUAGCCACAAUCACUAAACAAAUUCCAGAGGAAAAUUUCGCUACUCAUAGGUGGCUGAUUCUCAUAAAAAGACAUCGUGGUAGGGUGUCUCAAGUGCAGGCUCACCAUCAACUUGCUGCCCUUUUUAGAUUAUUGUAAAAUGAUUUCACAUGAAGCCCAAUGCAAAACUUUGAAAGAAAAGGUUGGUGGAGACGUGAAGAAUAUGUAACCCAUAGGCCAUAACUAGUACCGAAGAUUAUUGAACAAACAUUCAAGGUUUUUGUAUAGACGAAACUGAAAAGAAUGUGUACCAGACUCAGGCGUUCAGAUCAGAUGAUGCCGUAAUGUGGAUUGUGGAGGAGCAUUGUGCAGACAGAUAAUGAGAUUCUGAAAGCGAGGCCACUGAUGGGCCCUUGGAAGGGGGGCGUGCCUUCAAAAUUAUAUAUAUAUAUAUAUAUAUGUCAUUGAAAAUUGGAAGCAACUUUUCUUCUUAAGUUAUUUUAAUCGAAGAAGAAACAAAAAGUUAAAAACAUACAUUAUUCUUCCUUCUUACGAGGUUUCCGGGUCUAAAUUACUAUGGUCUCUGCAACUGGCGUCGUUUUCUCUCCCCUCUCUCUAUUUUCCCUUUAUUUUUUCACUUUUAGAAAGAAGCAUCCCAUCAAGAAUCUACUACAACCCUACGCUUCCAUUUUGAUUUAGAAAGUUAAAAAUAAGUUUAAGUUAAAAAAAAAUAUUUUCUUAUAUAAUUAUUUAAACUUAUUUCUUUUCCUUUUUAUAUAAAGAAACAAAUAUUUUGCAAAUAAAUAAAUUUCUAAUUAUUUUCAUUAACAUAAUAAUAAUAUUUUUCAUAUGACUUUAAUCACAAUUUUUUUUACCACUUGUCCAAGGCGGUGAGAGGUGAUAAAAUGUAUUAAAAAAACGAUUAAAUUGCAUUAGGUAUAGAAGUUUUGUGCUUCAAUUAUCACUUAUAAAAAUAAAAUAAAAAUAGUCAAAUUUGAGUGUGCAAGUUGGUAUUCGUAUGUAGAAGGAAUUGGGGGAUUUGGGGGUCCUAACAAAUUUGAUAUGAUUGAUGGAAGGAAAUGAUUAUUAUAGGAUAAAGUCCGAAUGAAACGCUGACGAGGGGGGAAAAACAACAGUGGCAAUGCACUAUCCACAGAUCCAUGAUUGAUUUAUGUUAGCAAUAAUGAAUUAUUUUGACUUUGAUAACCUUGGUUAAGAGAAUUUGGUCUUGUUAUUAUCAUUUUUUCAAAAAAAAAAAGUGUAGGUAACUAGGUAGUUGAUUUAUUAGAAUUUAGAAAUGAGGAUCCCCUCCUCCUGCAAGAGCCGUGACAGACAUGCCUGCUUUCUUGCCAGAUUAUACCAAUGUGCCCAAAUAAUCCCCCAUCUAUCAUCUCUGCACCCUGGAACACGUCACUCCCUCCUUUGAGCAAUAAAAUAUCUCUUUUAUUUUCUUUUGAACCACUCUUCUAUUUCUUUGUACCAGACUGGACCCAUUUAAAUUCUUCGCUACGCUGUUCCCAAGGACUACGAGAAUCAAAAUAGCAAAAUUCUUGAAUCAUUUUAAUGGGUUCAGAAACCACAUGUUUCUCUAGAUCAUAAGAGGAAAAUCUUUUUGGAUGGUGUUUGUGUUGUGUUGUGUUCAAUAUUAAAUACUCAAUUAAAUAAGCUAAAUCAAAUAUCACAUGAAAAAUAAUCAAAUUAAAAAUAGGGAGAAUUAUGUUUUGAGGGUAGAUGGACCCCAAAUUAACAAAAGGUUCAUGUAACUCUUCAAAUUGAGCCCAGACCCAAUGAAAAUAUGGAAAUUGAGUUGAAGUAUAUCAUCAUUCAGUAUUUCCAAAAAUGUCCUUUGUUGAUUUUGAGAAAAAAAUUAAUAUUUUUGAAAAAUAUUUUUAUGUAAUUUAAUAUUUUUUUAAAUACUUUUAUUUAAUUUAAUAUUUUUAAAAAAUAAAUUUAUUUAAUUUAAUAUUUUAAAAAAUAUUUAAUUUAAUAUAUUUUUUAAAUACUUUAAUUUAAUUUAAUAUUUUUGAAAAAAAUUUUAAUUUAAUAUUUUUGAAAAAAAAAUUAUUUAAUUUAAUAUUUUUUAAAACUAUUUUUAUUUAAUUUAGUAUUUUUGAAAAAAAAUUAUUUAACUUAAUUUUAUAAAAUAUUUUAUAUGUGUUCUUAAAGGGUAUAUUUGUCCGUUACUAUUUCAUAUCCUUCAACUCAAUUUAAAGAGUUAUAUGGACCUUUUGUUAAUUUGGGGACCCAUCUACCCUCAAAAGAUAAUUCUCCCUUAAAAAUAUAAAUUUAAAUAUGACAUAAUUAUUAAAUAUGUUAGAUCUUGUAUGAGUUUAUAAGAUUUAUGUUUCAAAAUAACAUGUUUAUAAUUCAUCUAUUGAUUUAUAAUCAAAUUUUAAAUAAAUUAAAGUUAUUCAAGUUAAUAAAUAUGAUUUAUGUUAUAAAGACUAACUAAAAAAUAAUUUAUUAAUUAAACGGAUCCUGGUCAAUAAAAAUUUGAUUUAAAUACGAUCAUACUUAAUCAAAACUUAGGUCAAAUUGUAUUGAUAAAUUACAUCAAAACCUUGUUGUGUUCAAUAUUUUAUAUUAAACUAUUUUUUAAUAAAAUUAUUUUUAUAAAUAUAAUAUUACAUCAUUUGGAGAAACAAAAUAGUAUUAUAUUGAUUUUACAUAUAAAGCAACCAGUUAACCCCUCAUUAUUUUGAUCCAUUUCACAUCCAUAUCAUUCUCAUAAUUUUUUUAUAAUAUAUUAACAUGAUGGACGGUAAUUGAGGGUAGAAAAAAAAGAUGAGAAGAAUAAAAUAAUGUGAAUCCUCUCUAAAUGUUACAUCUUCUGACAAAUGAAGUCUAUAGAAAUGUGUAAAAAAAAAAAAAACACUUAAUUGUGAGGUUCACUUGAUUUAGCAAAAAAUUAAUAUUUUAUUUGUUGUGUGAUUUAAAAAUAAUAUUUUAUUUUUAAAAAUAAAAAAUUAUUUUUAAAGUUUUUUAACACUAUUUUACUAUUGUUCUUUGAAAUAAUUUUUAAAAUUAAAAUGAAAUAACUAAUAAUUUUUAGAUAAUAAAUUAAAGUUGUUUUUAUUAGAUUUUAAAAAUAAAAGAAAAAUAUAAAACCAUUUGAUCAAAUUUUUUUAAACUUAUUUUUAAAAGGUUUUUUUUUUUUUUUUUUUUUUUCUAUCCUAAGUUAAAAGAUAAAAAAUAAUUUUUAAAGAUAGGUUACGAGCAAAUGCCACAAACUUUUUUCUUCUCUUUCCCUUGUUCGGAUAGAAGUGAAAAAUAUCCUCCCAUGGAUCGACAUUACGUGAGCCAUCACCAUUCCCCAACUGCAAUUCAACCGCCAAAGCUGAGGUGUCAUUAUUAGUUUGAACAAAAGUCAGCAUUGUCCACGUGGUGACAAGCGGAACUGACCCAACUUGCAAGGCAAAAAAAUAAAUAAAAUAAAAUGAAAAAAUCAGAUCACCAUUAUGACGUCAGUCCAAUUGCUGACCUGGCCGCCGUCCCCCAUUUGACCCACGUGUUCAUUUAACCCAUUCGCCGUAUGCCGUGGCUCCCCACCCAUAUGGCCAUAUCUGCCAUUUAUUUUAUCCGUUGCCUCCAUUCGGUUUUUGGAUUUUACCCAUUCGCCCUCGUCUAUUCCCAUUUCCGUAUUUGCCCACCAAGGAAAUUCAAUUCCCAUGCUUUUGUUUUACAUUCAAAUCCUCCCCCCUCUAUAUAAAGGAGGGAGUAGGGCUUGAAAGUUUCUCAAGCCAACAUGGACUGUUGAGAGUGAAAGACAGAGGAGCCACAAACAAAUAUCACUCACUCAAACCAAAGCCAAAACCAAUACCGAAUUCAAUUCAAAUGACUUCUUUCUCUCUCAUCAAUUCCCUGAAUUCCGAUUCCGAUUUCAAUUUGUUAUCGGAUUCUUUUUCCUGGGAAAACUCCCUACCUUUCAAUGAAAACGACUCCCAGGAGAUGCUCCUCCUGGGCAUGCUGGCCAGCUCCACUCAGGAAACCUCAGAAACAGUUUCUUUGAAUCGAGUGAAGGAGGAAGAAGUGACUUCCCAGGAAAAUCCCGAGAAGGAGAAGUCAUACAGAGGCGUUAGGAGGCGGCCAUGGGGGAAAUUCGCAGCAGAAAUAAGGGACUCGACCAGGCAUGGCAUAAGGGUGUGGCUGGGAACAUUUGACAGUGCAGAGGCAGCUGCUCUGGCCUAUGAUCAAGCUGCUUUUGCGAUGCGGGGCCCUGCGGCAGUCCUCAAUUUCCCGGUGGAAAGAGUGAAGGAAUCGAUGCAGGAGAUCAAGUGCAUCUUGGAGGAGGGGGGCUCACCAGUGGUGGCCCUCAAGAAGAGGCACUCUAUGCGGAGAAAAAGUCCUUGCAAGAAACAUAAAAGUGAAGAGGUGAGGUUAGAAAAUGUGGUAGUGCUGGAGGAUUUGGGUACUGAAUACUUGGAACAGCUCCUCACUUUCUCUGAGACCUCUAGUCCUUGAUCAUCAUCAUCCAUCACCUGGAUAGCUUCUUCUCUUUGCUCUGUUUCUUACUUUUCUCUCUCUCUCUCUCUCUCUCUCUCUUUUUUUUUUAUGUAAUUUUUCUUAAUGUAUUUUUGGAGAUGGCGGGGGUGUAGUGGUGGCAAUUAUCCAUCUAGAAUUUUUCAAAAGAUAUGUUCUUUUGUUUCUUUGUAUAAAGUUGAAAAGUGGGGAUCAAUUGUGAUGGUGCUCUAUGUUCAUCCACCCAAUUUAUAUAAUCAAGGUGAUUAAUGUUUUUUGAUAUCAACAAUUUGUGAAUGACAUAGAGAGAGAGAGAGAGAGAGACCUUAUUUUCUACACUCAUUACGGUGGUUUCCAUUUGGGGAAGGAAAAGGAAAUGGCUAAGAAUGUUACCAAAAGAAGUGGGGUGGCUUUCAUAUGCGUGGUGGCAUACUUGCAUACAAACUUUUCAAUUGUGUUCUGCAUGCCACUCGGGUCAAUUUCAUUUCUUUUACUCCUAGUAGCCUAAUUGGAUUUCCUUUUUCUCAUGAGACAUCAAAUAAAUUUCAUUUUUUUAUAUUUAAAUAGUUAGGUAAGUUUGAUAGUGAGUUAUAUUUUAUACAUUAAUUCAUCUUUUAGAAUGUUGUCUACAAUAUAAACAGUGUAAUUAAUUUCAUCAUUACAGAACAGUCAUCUUAUAAAAUAACAUAAAAAUUAUUGGAUCACUUGUAUGGCACCACUGAUUUGGACUUGGUAUGGCUCUGUUUGGCUUCAUAGAAAAAAUUUGGACCCAAUUUGAAUGUCUUGCAUAAAAAGAGAUACGUCCCACUUUGAAUGAUAUUGAAGAAAAAAAUUUCUGAUGAAGAAUAUAUUGUUGGCAGGGUCAUGCAGGCCAAUAGGGAAACGAUAAAUUCAGAAGAAUGAGUCCAAACCAGUGGGCUUGAAAAUUAAGAAGAGAAUUGCUGUAUAAAACAAUCAUUUCUUAAUCGAGUUCACUUUCUGAAUAAUCGUCACUUUGAGAAUGCAUACUUAGGAAGAUGAUGAUCCUUAAUGGGAAUAAUCAAAGGCAUCAAAAAAUUGUUCUGGAACAAUUCUUGAUUGUCUCCAGUAAAAUUCAAAGUCAAAAGUCAAAAGUCCAGUCGGUCAACACCAAACCAGGCCAGUCCAAAAGACAUUAAUUUGCAAUCUAGAAUCUAUGAUGAGGUGGCGAAAUCAAACCUUGGCUUUUCACCAGGGAAUGGUACUCUGAAUUUGGUCAGUUCACUGUUUCGAGUGAAUAGGGUGUAGUAAUUAGUAAAUCAUAUUUUAGAUUUGUGUCACAAGUUACAAGGGAUAUGGGCUGACGUUCAAUUUUGGCGACAAUUUGUGGGCCCGUAUAUUUGUUGAGAUGUGGAAAUUGGGUGUGUGCUUUUUUCUGCUACCACAUAAAUAUAUUUCUUUGAAUUGAAGAGUGUUUCAGACCAUUUUUUUUCAAGUCACAAAUGGACAACUGAUUGAGAUUGUAUUGGUGAGAGUAGGAGUUUAUUUUGGGCUGGUUGAGCGAAGUUGAAAGUCGAGUUGGACCUAACCCUUGAAUUCAGCAGACUACAGUCCGAUCCUGUAUUUUGGAUUUAGGGAACCUUCUUUCCCAGAAGCUUCGUCUGGGUUUUAAAGUCUAAAUGUGGCUACUCUUAAACAUUGGAGAAAGGAUGAGCGUUCACAAGCAAAUGGGUAAUUGUGGAUGGUUCAAGGACCUGGCCAGCUGGUCUUCAAGUUUGGAUGCCGGUUUGGGCCUGAGAGAGUCUUUGCAAAGUGACUUCACUUCAGCCUAUGAGAUCAAGAUAUCAUGGUGAUGUCCGAUCACUUAGGUUUCAUUUUCACCUCGGAUUACCGUUACCAUGUUCAUGAAUAAAAAUAAAUAAAUAAAUGAAGCCUUAUAGAGAAAUUAAUGAAGUGAGCUAUACAAGCAACUGGGCCAGGAGCCUACAAGGCAGAAAUUCCCUGCCCUAGACUAGGCCGAAUAAAUUAGAUGAAUGAAUUGGGGAAACCUGGGCCAGCCACACAUCCUCCUGAAGGCUGAUGUCGAACUCGCUUACGAGGAAUGGACAUGGGAGAUUGGGCUGGGACCAAAUAACCAAUUGACAGCCCUAUCCUUGUGGCAAGACGUCAGUAAAAUGGUUCAUUCUGAUUUUACGCUGCCAUUCAAUUUAAUUUUAAUUUUUGUUUAAAGCGAUGUACAAAUUGAAUGGUGUCUAGUCACUUAAAGAGUGGUUCAUAAUACACUUAAUUUAAACAAAAAAGAAAUUAUUAGAUAGGGGAUUCUCCAAUAAAAACCACCCCAUCUUGUCAGCAAGUCCGGAAACUUCCUUCACUUAGGGCGUAUUUGUUUUUUUAACUUUAAUAUUAAAGAAAGUUGGUUAAACCUUAUGACACUUUUAUAUUAUUUUAUGAAUUUUUUUUAAUUUUUAUUUUAAUGGAAUUUUAACUUUAAUACAAGUUGGAGUAAUUCUUAUCUUAAAAACAAAUCAAAAUUACUUUAAUUUUAUAUAGAAAUAAACUUACAGUAAAUUUACCAUGAAAAUUUCUAAGUCAAAUACACCAUAAGUGCUAGUAUUUUAUAAUAUUUAGAAACAUGUUAAAUUAUUAUUAUUAUUUUUUAAAAUUAUUAGUUUUCAUAUUAGUUUUAGGGAAACUUGUGCUUUAGGUCUUUUAUUUGCAAAUAAUAUGGUUUUCAAAUCCUAAGAAUAGAAAAUAUGAGAAUCAACUGUUAAUGUGGAAAAUAAUAUCAAUUUUGUGCAAUCUCUAUUGACUCAUUUUUUUGUGCCUAGAUUGCCUUCACCCACUUCCAUGUCAACAACCACAUUAAUAGAUUGUUUUUUUUUUAUAAAACAAAUAAUUAUUAUGUUUAAAAUUUUGGGGAAACUCUCUAUCUCUCUUACUUCUUCACUACAUCCGAGACCCAUCUUCCUUAAACGUUUGCCUCUCAUUUUGCCCUAACCCCAAAUCUCAUAAAUUUCUCAUUUUCUUGCCUCAUUUGAAAUAUGAAGAUGACCGAUUCUCAAACAUCUCUGUCUCUCUCUUCACGUUUUGACCAGUCUAAUUGGAAACCCAUUUUCCAAAAACCUUCUUUCUUUCAUUUUGCCCUAACCCCACUAUCUCCCUCUUCAAGACCUAAUCACCCAAACUCGAUAUCUAUCUUCCCAAAACCUUCAAGCAAACUGAACUAGACCCAUAUCUUCUUUUUUCAUCAUCAAAGGUGAAAUUUUUUUAAGGCUUUUGGAAACCGAAUUGGAGCUUUCCCUUCUUCUGGGAUUAAUCAUUCGCAAGUGAGUUUUCCAUUUAAGGCUUUGUUUGGCUGUUGAAAUCUUGGGAUCAAAGGUCUUUUAUUUUCAGGUUUCUUGUAUUUUGCUUUAUUUUCUUGUAUAUAACAAUAAUCAUUGUAACAUAUGCUAGUAGUUACCCUUGGUGCAACUUUACAUUUCCAAAUACCCUAAAGUCCAAAGCUUUUAAUUCCCUUUUCAAAGCUUUCAACUUUGAAAGCAGACUAAACCAUAAGAACUAUGAAACUUAUAUCUCUAUCACCACUAAUUAAGCAUGUCUAUGAAUCCUUCCACUUUAAGUCACUUAUUCUCAAACCAAGAAGGGCUCCUCUCAUUCUCACCCCACCUCAUCUAAAUGAGGGAAAUGAUCAAUUGCAGCCAUGCUUUGCACCAAAUUAGAGAAGUGAUCCUCCCAAUCAUCCAUUACCAAAAAUUGAUCAUGCUGAUGAGAUCAUAAGAGUCUAUUCGGAACUCCCAGUUUACUUGCCUCUUAUCUCAGGAUCCUCCAUUACCCCCUGUCUUUCCAACAUCAAAUCAACUUGCAAACAAUUCCUUUGUAGAUAAAAUGUUUUUAAUAUUGCAAAAGGGGACUUAUCAUAAUGGUUGAAUCGAUUUAUUUGAUAUAAUCACUCAAAUUCAAGCUUAAAAUUGAUCAUAAUAAAAUGUUUUUAAUAUUGUUAAAAGGAGAUUAUAAUGGUUUUAUUUGAUAUCAUUACUAAAAUUCAAGCUUUCAAACAUGCUCUACAAAGAAGUUCUAAAAGACUACAAGAAAGAGUUUCCACUAAAGAAAAACAAUGAAACCAUUUCUACUAAAGACAAACAAUGAAACCACAGAUGCUUUGUGAAAUAUGUACCCGCACAAUCCAACAAACUUUAGAAAUUCACAAACACUACCUAGAAUUUUUGCUGACCAGCAAAAAAUUUAUGCAAUUUAAUUCUUAUUGUUAUUAUUAUUUUCAAUGUGAACAAAUAUGAUUGAAUUAUGAAGUAUUUGGCCAGAAGAGGAUCUUGCCUAAUUAUAGUCAUUAAACAACCAUUUAUACCAUAGCCUCUAGACUUUAAAAAGUUUAUAAAACUCAAGGGCUUCCACCCAAUUUCUAGAUAUCUCCAUAACAUUCUUCUGACUAUUAGAAAGCAAUUACCACUUUAAUUUUUCAUUUCAUGAGUGUUCAAUUCAGAAAAAGACCAGGAUCGAACUUGCGAUCAUGCAGUCGAAAAUCCACCUGUGCAUGAAACUAUUGCCUCACGAUUGCAAACUCAAGUUGGAGUCCAGUAACAACUCUAGGUUUGCUGAUGUGCUCCAUUUGAAAUAAAGGAACUAAAGAAUACUUUAUAAAGAUUAAUUACCUUCAUAUUUUAGGUUGGGGUUAAGGCAAAAUGUGAUAGAUUGAGAGGAAGAAAAUAUAUCUUGUUCAGGAAGCCAAUAUUUUGGAGUUCACCUUUCCAUUCGAGUCCACUCUGCUAUAGCAAAAUCAGAGUCACAACUAUGCCUCUUUAAGCUAUCCUUUAAUUGGAUGAAUUGCAGAUUUGGUUGCUGAGAAAGUGGAUAAGAAAGAAAAAUGCAUACUGUAGCUUGAGAUUAAGAGUUUGUUUUCUAAAAUGAGAGAAAGGGAAAGAGAAAAAAUGCAUAUUGUAGCUUGAGAUUAAGGGUUUGUUUUCUAAAAUGAGAGAAAGGGGAAGAGAAAUGUUCGACAACUUUGAGAUGACAAAUUUUUAGAUUUGGAAAAUUUGAGAUGAGUCUCAGGUUUUUUUUUUUUUUUUUUUGUCUUUGUCUUUGUUUUUUUUUUUUUUUUUUGUUUUUUUCCCAAAAACAACCUGUUAAUGUGGUUGUUGACAUAGAAGUGGGUGAGGGCAAAAUGGGCAUAGAAAAAAGAGUCAACACAAAGUGCACAAAACCCAUAUUAUUUUCCACAUUAAUGACUGAUUCUCAUAUUUCUUGUUCUUGGGAUUUGAAAACCAUAUUAUUUGCAAAUGGACCUCCCAAAGCACAGGUUUCCCUUAGUUUUAUGUCUCCAUCUACAUUUUACAUAUAAAUAGAUUAUUUUAUAAAAUUUGUUUUGUAGAUAUAUUAGUUAAUAAUUAUAUAAUUAAUGAUAUAGAAAACAUAUAAAAAUCAUAUUUAAAAAAGAUAAUUACAUAUUCCUCAACAAUCCAUCCCAAGAAUUCGAGGUUGAGUUGAAAACAUGUAGAGUCUUUGAUGUUAUUAUAAUCAUAUCCAACACAUAUGAUUAUUGUUUAUGAGAUAUUAUUAGAAAGUUUGUCUUAAAAUAAUUGAUUUAUUACCCACCUUUAGCAAAUGCCCAUUUUUGCGUCUUUCAAAAUUUUCAUUUUUUUUUUGUUUAAAAGAAGUAUUGUAAAGAAUGAUGAAAUAAGAAAUUUGUUGAGAAAGUGUGAGUAAAUAAUUUUACAUAAAAAGAGAUUUAAUACUUGAUAAAUAAAAUAAUAAAAUCAUGAUUUCUAGUUGUAUAGGGCCGGGUGGAUGGAGUGGCUAAGAUGUAAUUCUUGAAAUAGAGGAGACAACAUCAAUGUAUAAAAGUUUAACAGAGAAGGAAAGUGUGUUUGAAUGACUUUAUUUUCUUCAUUUAAAGUUUUGACGAUGAGUGUUUAUACAAGAUAAAUUUUCAAAUGAUAGGACUCCUAUUUACAUGGAGUUUGUGAUAUACUAUGAUUAUACAAAUUUAAAAUUCAAACAGAUUCAUGAGUUGAUAGGAGUCUGCUCAAUACGCCCCUUCAAAAUGGUGGGAGAUAGCACACCAAUCUUGACUCGAAGGGCCUAAACUCGUGCAGAAGAUGAGGGCUUUGUUAGAGCAUCGACAAGUUGAUCCGUGGUUGACAUAUGGGACACCUUGAGCUCACCUGAUUAAACCUUGUUUCAAACAAAAUGAAAAUCAAUCGCCGAUGUGUUUCAUGGAGAGUGAAACAUGGGAUUUGCACAAAGAUAUGUUGCACCCACGUUAUCACAAGAGAUAGGAGGUGGUGAUAAAUUUGAAACACUAAGUUUUGAGAGAAGAGAAUUAACCCAAAGAACCUUUGAGGCUGUAGAGGCCACGACGUGAUAUUUCGCUUCAGUGGAAGAGCGUGCUAUGAACUUUUGUUUCCUCGAUGACCAAUACACAAGAUUGUGACCAAGAAAAACAAUGGGAGCAUUGGUGGAGGAUCUGACAUAAGGAUUCCUUGCCCAUUCAACAUUCGAAUAUGCAUGUAGAUUGAUGGGCGAUUUCUUAUGCAAGAACAGACCAUGCACCAUUGUGCCGACUAAGUAUCUAAGCAAUCUUUUAACACAAGACCAAUGUGUUGAUGUUGGAUGGUGCAUAAAUUGAGAUAAUUUAUUCAUCAAGAAGGUGAUGUCAGGGCUAGUAAGAGAGAAGUAUUGAAGGCUUCCAACAAUUGACAUAUAUUUAGUGGGACCAGGAAAAGAGGUGUCAUCACACAGAUUUGGAACAUUGUUGAGGAACAUCAAUGAUUGAACUGGUUUGGUAGCCACCAUUUGUGUUUUCUUAAGAAGCUCUCGAAUGUACUUGAGAUAAAAAUAAUCCUUUGGAAGUAUGUAUCAUUUCAACACCAAGAAUAAAAGAUGAAGUCCUGAGAUCCUUAAUGGAGAAUUUGACUGCUAAUUGAGAGAUCACGCGAGCACGAAAAACAUUAUUGUUACUUGUUAAAAUAAGAUCAUCAAUAUAAAUAAGUAGGUAAACAAUGAGACCACUCUUUUUAAAAAUGAAGAGGGAUGUCUCGGUUUAGGAGUUGACGAAGGCUAUUGAGAGGAGAAAUUGGCAAAGUUCAUGAUACCAUGAUCGUGGAGCUUGUUUAAAGCCAUAAAAAGCCUUACAAAGUUGGCAAAUGUGAUGAUGUGUGUAUUCGUGAACCCAGGAGGUUGAAUCAUGUAAACAUCUUCAUGAAGUGUCCUAUGCUAGAAUGCAUUAUUAAUGUCCAAUUCAUGAGUUGAUAGGAGUCUGCUCAAUACAAUGUGGGAGUGUGAUUUCAAAAUUAGGGUAAUUUCGAAAUGGAUUUUGUAUUCACAAGUUGAAUUUCAAAAUUAUUUUGAAAUGGUCUUUUAACUUUAAGCAGUUGUGUUCAAAAGGUCAUAACUUCUUCGUUUCAAUUUUGAUUUACACAUUGUUUAAAACAUUGGACUCUUUACUUCCCGAGCUUCAAAACGAUAUAUAGUAUGCUCAAAAAUGACAUCAGGAUUGGUUCAAAUUUCAUCUUGAUAUUAGAGUACAUGUUGUGAUUAGAUUUUGAGUUCCAAAUUUCCAUGUAAACUUGAUUGCAUUUGCUUCAAACCUCCUUCAUUAUGGUUGCUUGCCCUCUAUCUCACUUUGCAACAUUUGUUACUAGUAUUUUAUGUCCAUGACUUACUCAUUUCAACCUUUCUUGGAUUCUUCAUGGUUCACAAAUUAUGGAUUCUUCAUGGUUCACAAAUUGAGUCUUUCAAUUAUGCAUGUUUAACUCCUAUUUCCUUGGUUGAUAAUGACUUUUACACUUAUCAUUUUCUUUUAUUCUUUAAACCUGAAUUUAGACUUACAAAAAAAAGUUAGAUCCAUAACUAGGGUCUUAGCAUCAAUUUGAGUUAAGUUGGAUGAUUUGAAAAUUUUAUAUUACAUAAAUCAUAUCAUACAUGUGCCAUUGGAGUGCACAUUUUGGCUCUAAUCAUGUUCCAACCCAUUGUUUUACUCUUGCAUGAAGUAUGUGGCCAUUGAUUUUAAUUUUAUUUGCGAUUAGGUUCAAAAUGGUGCUUUUGUGUUGCUCAUGUGUCAUCAGAAGAUCAACUAAUGGAUUCUCUAACAAAACUACUACAUCAUAGUCAUUUUUUUUUUUCUUAAGACCAAGAUUGAGAUCUCCAAUCGGAGCCAACUCCAUCUUGGGGGCAUGUUAGUGAAAGAUAAAAUUUAUCUUUAAUUUAAAUAUUAAUAUUUAUCAGUUAUUAGUUUUAAUUAGAGUAAAAGAUAGAGUUUAAAUUGGAGUAGGAGAUAAACUUGUGUUUGAACUAGAAUAGAAGAUAAAGUAUAAAGAUUUAUGUUUGAAUUAGAAUAAAAUAUAAAGUUUGAAUUAGAGUAGAAGAUAAACUUGUUCUUUAUUUGUAUAUAAAUAUUCAUCAAUUCUUGAGAAGAAGAUUAUUUCAUAGUUUUUCUAUCUUCUUUUUUCUUCAUACAUAUCUGCAAGAAAUUGAAGAUUUCAAGUAAAAUAUUUUCUGUUUUAAAUAGUGAAAAAAGCUAGAAAUUCACUUUGUUAUCUCUUGGGGUAAAUUGACAAGGUUUAACGUUAAGAAGGUGAAUUAUUUUUUCAGAAAAACUGAAGUAGCUAGGAUAUCUGGCCAGUUGUGAUCGAUAAAAAAGUUGUAAAAUCUCUCAUAUACUAAACAGGUUUUGGAUGUUGGUAUGGUAAAUCCAUCUGCAGUCAUUCGUCAUCUCAUCUAGUGAGAUGUUUGGGAGGUGGUGACCGCCGGAUUGGGUUUCAUUUGGUUAAAUCUGUCAGUGGGUUGGCUACUACCCGAGCCUCUUGCUUUGGGGGAGGUGGGUUCUAGAUAUAAUGUUCAAACCAUUUUAGUUAUCAUAUGCAUGACAUGUAAGCAUAAUCUCUUUAUCACUUCUUCAAUGGGAGUUCAUGGUUAGGAAUUGACUUCUUUUCUUCUGGGAUGCUUGGCAUGUAAUGGACAAAGUUACUUUUAUAUCGAUCGAAUUUCUAGUAUUAUAGUGAAGACUUACCCUUUUGACAUUUUAUAUCGAAUUAUAGAAGAUGAAAGGGACAUACAUGCAAUCGACUGACGCUUUAGUGAAUAUGCUGAAAAUAUGCUGAUGCUGUGGAGAUCGUAUGAGGACAGAGGAAAAAGAUAGAAAUGGAUAUAUAAUUAGACCUAGGUUUUUAUUAAAUGAGAUGGGGAACAUAGAGUGAGGGAAAAUCAAAAUUUUUGGCUGCAGUUCACAUUGGUGAUAUUUUGGAUUGACAAAGACUAACGACUUUUCUAUUUUUCUUUUCGGCCUGACUGGAUAGUUGGACAUGGACAAUACAGAAUCCACAGAAGGAUUGUUGGGACCGCUGAAAAUUAGCUAGAAGAAGCUGAGGAAGUAGUCUACGUAGUCAAAUACCAAACACAAAGAAAGAAAGAAAUGGAUAUCAUGGAUGCCUAGAGUUAUACUCCUAAUACCGUCACAGGUAUUUUUCUUUCCUCCUUUUUUUUUCUACGAUAAUUAGAGCAUUUCUCCUCCUCCUCCUCCUCCUCCCCCCACCCCACCACCAAAAAAUAAAAAAAUAAAUUAUUGCAAGUAACACUUCAAAUAUUAAUUUAUACAUUCUAAAGUAUAUAUUCAUGAAAUAACUUGAGUAUCAUACAUUAGUUCUCAAAAAAAAAAAAAAAAAAAAAAAAAAAUUACUGGAAGAGAAAAGUUUAAGAAAACAUAAAAAUAUUCAACUACUAUUUUAAAGAGAAAAUUUAAUUUUUACACUAUAAAUUUGAAGAGAACUUUUACAUGCAUCUUAUAUAAACUACCAUUUUUUGCUAAAAGGCUUAAAUUUGUCAAAAAUACCCCUUAGGUGCUUAACGUUCUGGUCAUAAUAUAAUUGGCAUCUUUUCUCAAACAUAAGGCCUGUGUGUGGGAACAAGAUUUAAUGUUAAUGAGCUUCGCCACCGACAUUUAGUUCCAGAAAUCAUUAUUUUAAUAGAGUGGGCUCAAUUUACAACUUUAAUUAAACUCUAACCAACUGCAUUGUGAAAUGAAUAUGUUUCUUUCGUGGUGAAUCCAAUGAGUUGGGAGUCAAACUUUGCUUCAUUGUGUAUAGAUGAAAUGUUAAGACUCCAUGUAACCUCAAACAUUUCCGCAAUNNNNNNNNNNNNNNNNNNNNNNNNNNNNNNNNNNNNNNNNNNNNNNNNNNNNNNNNNNNNNNNNNNNNNNNNNNNNNNNNNNNNNNNNNNNNNNNNNNNNUUCUUUCGUGGUGAAUCCAAUGAGUUGGAGUCAAACUUGCUUCAUUGUGUAUAGAUGAAAUGUUAAGACUCCAUGUAACUCAAACAUUUCCGCAAUGAGCGGGAGUUCUAAAUUUAAUAAUUGAAAUUGUCAGUGGAACCAGUGGACAAGAGUUGGUUUGUGGUUGACAAACUUAUCCGUUUGAUCUUUACUUGAACAGUUCCAGUGUGUGGAUGGGUACUGAUGAAGUGUGCGCAUUUAUUUUGAGAAGCCUGCUUGUUCGCAUAGAUUUUAACGACAUGAACAUUGUGGUAAGGUUAGAGAGUAAUGCGAAUGUAGGAGCUUAUAUUAGAAAUGACACAAACACGUAAAUAGAAGUAAUCUAUAUAUGAUAUUACUCAUGGACUACAAGCAAAGAAGUACAAUACAUGGAGUAAGUGAUGAAAUGAGCAUUCCUCACUACUACUGCUUGACUGAUGGAACAUGAUGCACGAGAUAGCAUAAGUAGUAGUAGGAAGCAGCUCUUAUUUGUGGCGUCGGUAUACAUCAUACUAGGUAGAUGGUUCAAUUGGCAUGGAUGGGUGGUGGAGCCUUGAAGUGCUUGUGAUGGGGAGCCCACGGCUUCUUCUCAGGAGUUGGUGGCUUCUUGUAUGGAGUUGAUGGAGGUGUUUCUACUGGAGGGUGGCCAGGGUAGUGACCCUGGGGUGGUGAAGGUUCUUUUGUCGGUGGUGGCCUCACUAUUAUUGGCGGUAGAGUUGGUGGCUUGGGCGUUGGCGGUGGUCUCACUACUCUUGGGGGUAGAGUUGGUGUCUUGUGUUUUGGUGGUGGAGGUGGCUUAACAGGAGUUGGUGGCUUGUAUUCUGGGGGUGGUUUCUCCACCGGAGGUGGCUUAUAAACUGGAGUUGGUGGCUUGUAUUCUGGGGGUGGCUUCUCCACUGGUGGUGGCCUGUAAACAGGGGUUGGUGGCUUAUAUUCUGGGGGAGGCUUCUCCACUGGAGGCGACUUAUAAACAGGGGUUGGUGGCUUGUAUUCCGGGGGUGGCUUCUCUACGGGAGGUGGCCUGUAAACAGGGGUUGGUGGCUUCUCCACCGGAGGUGGCUUAUAAACGGGGGUUGGUGGCUUGUAUUCUGGGGGUGGUUUCCCCAGUGGUGGAGACUUGUAAACAGGAAGAGGUGGUUUGUGCUCAUAUGGGGGUGGCUUGUGGUCAUUAGCAAGUGAGGGAGUGGUGAGGACCACCAAUCCAAGGAACAACACGAGUGAGCAAGCAGAAGACAU